CUGAGCGCGUCAUAUUCUUUGUGACUGAAUCGGUCACGCCGUUGCAUCAGUUGCAGCUGCACAAGAACUGUAUGAUAAAAAGAACACACAAGGCUAUAAUUUUCUUUCGUUUCUUGAUCAGGUUGGAGCUGCUGAAUCUUCUGCUACCUGUAGUGCAUUGAAGACAAGGAUGGCGUUACACAAUGUCUAUAAAUACUGUGCUGUGGUUGGUGAAUAGUUAGGAUAAUGAUAUGUGGAGAUCGCUGGACUGCUGCCUUUCUCAUUAAGUAGAUGGAGACAUCAGAUCAGAAGUGCCGUUGGAAGUUGUAACAGAUGCUGGUAGUAAUGUGAAUGUGUGUAAAUUAAUUUGAUUUUCCAUGAAAGACUGUAGUACUGAGAAGUUGGUCCAUGAAAGAGAGUGUUUUCAGGGCUGCCAAUCUUCACGGCAUUGAUUCACAGUGUUUACACUCGUCUCAAUCAUUCAUGCGAUUGGUGAGUGGGCUUGACAAAUCAGCUUGCUUGAAACCUUCAGCAGGUCCUGAUGUUUGGUCAACUUACUGAAAGAGUGCUUUCAUCAGCAGUCUCCGGCGGUCGAAAGCGUGAUUAUCGUUGGCUUGCUGUAGUAGGGACAAAAAAAAUCGAGCCGUAGAACAGAUACAGAACUCAUCUAUAUAAAUAUACGCAUGCAAAUUCUACCGUAUAAGUCCAUAUAAAUAUACGCAUGCAAAUUCUACCCUAUAAGCUCAUACGAGAGACUGAGCCGAUAGAUUUUUAUAUUGACGAUGUGGUCAGUGAGUAGGCUUACCAAUCAGCAUAAUUCUAACGAUGAAAGGAGACUGUAGCCUUUAAAGAAAGAGUGCUAUCACCGUCAGUUGAUGCAGGUGUAUCUAGAAACAAGAGCGAUUUAUCACGCUGAACCUGUAGCUACAGGCAGGUCCUGUUAUUUCUGUGAAAUUAAUAUUUAGCAAUGCAUUGGGGUUUGUUGACUCUGGAAACCUUCCUGACUUCAGCAAUCCGUUCAAUCGCACAUUCUCUCGUAUAACUCCAAUUUUCUCUACUAUGGCUUGCACUCCACAAAAUGAUGUUUUUAUUCGAGUUAUUUUUAUUUUUUUGUAUAUUAAUGCGAAUCAGUAUAUAUGUUUGAUGUUUCUACAUGCGUGUUCAUCUGGAGUAUAGUACAAGCUAGUCAAAGCUGCAAUUUGCCACGUAUUUACCCACUUCCAGUCAAGCUAACUUUUUUCCUCUGAACUUGACUGAUAUGAAAUCUUUUACAGGGGCAUACAUAGUCCAUGUUGAUCCCUCGUCUCUGACAGUGACGACUGACGAGUGGCUUUAGUAGGUUGAGCCCCAAUGGGUUAUCCAAUAGGUUGAUCCCUCGUAACCUUGAUGCAAUAUGUUUUCAUUGAUUAUUCGAUUUGCUAGCUCUAUCCCGUGGCCAUGGAUUAUAGAGGCAUACUCUACUUUUCCUUUUUUUUUCCAAACAGGGCAUGGAUGUACUCCCAAGGUUUAUUCUUGUAGACGUACAGAGAUUUAAAAUUGUAUCCUAUUCAUUUGGUAGUGACAUGCACACAUCGUACACGAUACUUUGUUCAUAAUUUGGUGAGGUCGACAUCUUCAACGAUUCUGUGGAAAACAUCAAGUCCAGUUGAGCCAAGGUCAAGUGGUCAACCGGAGCAAGAUGUUGCUUCUAACUACUGUUGUAAACAAUGCAAUAAUACGAGCAAAAAAAAUUCCAACAAUCACAAAAUGAGAAGUACACAUGUAUUCUUCCAACAUGAUUUCACUAGUAUUGAACAAGAGUACACUACCAUGUUGCAGUACAGGUGUAUAACCAAAUCUGGAUAUAAUAGUUUAGUUUAAACUUUAAACAUAGCUCUCAGUGCUACCUGACCCUUGCUUAUUCACAAUCAGACACUACCUUACUAAGGGGGUGUUUGGAUACAAGGUGCUAAACUUUAACAGUGUCACAUCGGAUGUUCGGAUGCUAAUUAGGAAAACUAAAUAUGAGCUAAUUAUAAAACUAAUUGCAGAACCCUGUGUUAAUUUGCGAGAUGAAUCUAUUAAGCCUAAUUAAUCCAUCAUUAGCAAAUGGUUACUGUAGCACCACAUUGUCAAAUCAUGAACUAAUUAGGCUUAAUAGAUUCGUCUCGCGAAUUACACUUCAUCUGUGUAAUUAGUUUUGUAAUUAGCCUAUGUUUAAUACUCCUAAUUAGCAUCUAAACAUCCGAUGUGACGGGUGUUAAAUUUUAACACCCCAGAGCCAAACAGGCCCUAACUCGGUACAACUACAACUAGUUAAAGGCCCUGAAGACUAUGCAAGAGCAUACACAGAUGCUACUUAUCAAAACAAAGCAAUAGACACAGAAAGUGUAAAGCUACCACUGAAUAAUUCAAUGGCUUGAAAUGACAUGAGUCUCUCGAUCAGACCAACCAAUAUAUCACAAGGUGCUAAUACACAAGUAAAGCAAUAUACAAUUAACCACAACAUUGUGGCACAAAACAACAAGGUUUAAACUAAUCUUCACAGGAAAUUGCCCAAUUUUGUAAUGGUCUGGCUGCACUGAGCUUUUAUCAUAACAGAGCAAACAAGUAGUCCAGGUGAUGAAAACUCACAGCGCAAUACAUCGGAAGUUCCUAGGAAAAAAAACUUUUGGAAGUCCUAUCGGUAUGUUUGGUUGGAGGUAAUUGGUGGGAGAGAAAUGGAAUUUAGAGAUGAGAGAUUAAAAUUCUAUUGUUUGUUUAGACGGUACGGGAGUUUUAGUGGAAUGAAGAAUAAGAGGUUAGAUGAGCAAUUCCCACCAAUCACUUCCUAGGUGAGGGUGAGAAUUAUUUUAGAUGGAAGAUGGAUGCAUAUGCACCGUUAAUCAUGACUUCAGAUAUAAUUUCUUACCUCUAAACUCCCACUCUUAAUUUUCUCAAAAAAACAAACAAGAUAAUCGUACUAAGGAUCAUACUCCUAAGUGAAUUCUCUUCGCCAAUUCUCACCGCUAAUUUCCAUGCCUCAUCUCAUUAGUUGUGAGCGGGAAAAAAAUUGACCCAUAGGAUUGCCGCGUGGACAGGACGUGAGCACAUCGAUUUCUUGCAUAGGCACGACUGAAGCCCAAAAUACUGGUGUGGCGGGACAUUGACGUUGCACAUGACGGUAACCACAAGGCAAGGCAACUGGGGAAUUUUUUUAUUUUUAUAUUAUUUUUUUCGAUUUUGCAGAAAUAUAUAGUCGGAUGUAAAAAUCUGGACUGUUGCCGCCGGCCCAGGCGGUGGAAGGGCCUUACUGCCGCCUCAACCGGCGGUAAGGCCCCCCACCAACGGUCAGCAGCCGGCGUAACUGCGGGUGCGUGAGUCGAGGUGUUACCACUGCCCUAGGCGGCGGUAAGGCCCUUACCGCCGGCUGAGCCGGCGACAGUCGCCCUUUAUAACCCGUGUUGGAGGUAUGCUCUAGAGGCAAUCAUAGAGAUGAUGAUGUUCCAUUUGUAUCCAUGAUUUAUAUUGUGUUCCUUGAAUAUCCAUUAAAGGCUACUUGAAUUGAUUUGCAAUUAUGUGAAUUGUAUGUAAAACUCUUUACUUGUAUGGUUAUUCUAAUGUUGUCCCUAGUCGGAGUUCAUGUGAGGACACACAUGAAUAUUAGACUAGCACAUGUAUUAGUUGAUGACUAUGUUUCACGAGUCAUAGACAUGGAGAUGUUGAACUAAUAAUGUGGGCACAUGUGGAGACAUGUGCUAGGACUGACCCAACACGAGAAGUAGUUCUCUCUUUACACAACAUAUACCUUUGUCCUUAUACCUGAGAUUGUCGCAUGUACUCAAGAUGUGGAUCGACUUACUUAGGGGCUAUCAAACGCUACGCCGUAACAGGGUAGUUAUAAAGGUAGAUUUCGGGUUUGUCAAGAAGCAUGCUAUGAGACAUGGUCAAUCAAGGUGGGAUUUGCCCCUCUCUAAUUGACAGUGAUAUCUCUGCGCCCCUUGAGUGAUCGGAUCCGAAAAUGCAUGGCCAUGCUACGUACGGUUAAGAGUUAACCUACAAAGGGAUUCCGAAUCAUAGGAUCGAGAAAGAGCGGUCGGCUUGAAGCUAGACCAAAUAUCGUGAGGCAAAGAGAAUAGCAUAUAUAUAAUGUUGUGAUGGUUCGUCUGAUAUGAUCUUCGUGUGCGUAUAGGAGUUGGCACGUCUUGCUAGAGGCCGCUACCGACUGUUGGGCCGAGUAGGAGUACUCGGGCCAUGUCUAUAUGUAUCCGAACCUAUAGGGUCACACACUUAAGGGGCUGGAAGCCCAAUUCGGAUGUGAUCCGAGUUGGAUUAGGUUUAAGAGUACUAAUGGGCCUCGGACCUAGAGGCCCGUUAGGAACCUCUAUAAAUAGAGGGGUGGGGGCACCCUAGGGUUUACACCUUUGUUGGCGCUAGAAAUCAGCCGAUUGAACUUCCAGCGUCGGACACACGACCCGGGAGAAUCUACUUAAAUCCUGUUCAGGUGGUCACCCUGGUGCGGUUCGCGCGGCAUGCCAGCCAAUCUGACCUGUCGAUUGGCAAGGAAAGAAACGUGUCAUAUCCCAGAGGUUGCGAUCGGCUAAGGUUCCGAUCUCGAGGGAGCUUAUCAGCGAAUCGGCCGAUUUGCUGUAAUAAAAAAAUCGCUAUAAUACAGCCGAUUACCGGGCAACAUUGGUGAAGAAAACUACUAGAGUAAAAUGAACAAUGCUACAGUAGCAACACUAGGAACAGAUUUUAAUCGGCUAUGCAAGAAGUGGUAAAUUAAGCAAAAAUAUAAGUGAGCCGAAAGCUCUAAUUCCAAGCUGGAUAACUGGUGAUAAAACUAGAACAACAGGUAAAACCUAAAAUUCUAGUGAAUAUCGAUAACUGAUGAAUAAAUCUAAACGAAACGACAGCGAUGCGCCCGAAGUUAAAGCUUAGAUAUUACUCGAUAAAUGGAACUUAUAGAAUCGGUCGGAGAUCAAGUGAUGCAGCCCCGCCAACCCGUACGAACUCGUGAAAAGAAGAAAAGUACUGACGAAGUCGUCAACUCGAAAGUAAAGUGCGAGGAAAUAGUAGAUUGUUGUAUUGAUUUGAUGAUGAUUACAGAUCUCUAAAGAUGGCUAUUUAUAGCCUGUUACAACCAAUCUCUUAACCGACUAGGACUCUAUCUCUAAGUUUAAACGAAAACGAAUAUUUACAAGUAUGACUCGUAUCGGAGUUGAUUGCUGUGUUCCUGUGGGCCGACCCCUUUUAUCCUCGUAAUCCACUCUGAGCCCAUAUUGGUCCAACUAUUCCAGCCUCUCGAUCGGCCGAUUUCCAUCAACUCCAUUCGCCGAAACACUGCCGCACCAAUCUGCCGAUCUCCAACUGUAGCACCAAUCGGCCGAUUCCCAAUCCUGACCUCCGUACCUCGCCGCAUCAGCUGAUUCUUUCCUUUCUUGGCGCCGAUUCCAUACGUGUCAAAAUCUAGCGUCAACACAUGCCCCCCAGUUUCGGAGUAAAACAUAAUCUUUACUUCGAAAUUCCUUUUAACUUCCCUUCCGAAACAAACGCAUUGAAAAUACCCUUCCGUUUCGCGGUCUUCUACCUGAUGAUUGCAAUCUUUUCAAAAUGGGCGCCCACGACAACCACUUCUCCCAAAAAAAUCGAACCGACGGCGCGGUAAAAAUCCUGCUUUUACCCCUUCUCAGACCGUCCUUAAAUAUCAGCACGUCCCGUACUCCUUCUCACGAGCUCACGUCUUCCUUCUUUGGCACACUGAUCUCCUUCUUCCUCCGGCGUCUCCCUAGCUUCCAGUAUUUCCCUCCGACAUCUUCUUCCAUCCACAUUCCGUCCCACCUCCCCGAUGGCGACACCCUCAGGCACUUCACCAACAUCCGAAGUCCCAGAGACGGCCCCACCAGCGGCGGCUCCAGCGGCAAUGGCGGCAGCUCCAUCGGCAGGAGCGGGAGCUCCAUCGGCGGGAGCGGGAGCUUCGACGGAGGCCCCACCGACGGCUUUAGCACGAUGAGCUUCAUACCGGAGGUUUUUACCGAAACUUCUCUUAAUACCAAUGCAUUUACCUUAGAUCCGUUCUUACUUCCGCCCCCUUUUUCCCUUUUUUAGGCGGUUAGACACCAGAUUACCAUCCGCCUUACCGAAACCCCUGGUCUUAUCUGCCUUGGUCCCAUAGGAAACCCAGAUCCAACUGACUUGAUCAAUUUGGAAACCCAUAGAAUUCCAUUCAAGCAAUCAACCCUGGACCUAGACCACUGGUCAGGCACUUUCAGAUCAUGGCCGAAUGAAACCCCCGGUUGGAGGGAAUGGUACCAACGGAUAGCCGCCUCCAAAAGAGUUCAAUGGGACGAGCACAAAAUCGGCCAGUGCAUCGAUCUGUCUUUGUCCCAAAUGGAAAGAAAUGAGCCUUUAGUAAUAGCAGCCUCGUACUUUUGGUCCGACGCUCUCAACGCGUUUCUCUUCGGACAUGGGCCUAUGACUCCCACCUUGGCCGAUGUGGUCAUGUUGACCGGCCUUGACAUUUCCUCCCCUGAUACCCCUUUCCGUUACCUGGCCAAGACGUCCCAUCGGCUGGAGAUGACAGGAAUCAGCAGAUGGAAGGGGUUCAUCAAGUGCAACAGGAGGGCCAGGACAGUCGCAGAAAGGGAGCAUGCGGCCUUCCUGAUGAUGUGGCUAGAGAAGCACCUCUUUUGCGGGAGGGCAGCUGGUCCAUCCACUAACACACAGGCUCUGGCCAGGGCGCUAUCGAUAGGAGCUUCUGUUCCUCUUGGAAAGCAUUUAUUGGGAUCAGUUUAUCAUAUGUUGCACUAGAUCGGCGUAAAACUAUCCAAAGGAGAGCCGAUUGGAAACCCAGGUGGACCCUUGUGGUUCAUCAACUUGUGGCUCAACCUGUACAUGAGCAAGAUCUCCCAGCAGCGAGUGGAGUACAUGACAUUCCCCAACAUUGAAUCGGCAGAGAACCCCACUGUACGGUGCCGGUGCACUUCCUUCGGUGAAGCAGCAUCGGCCUUCUCUGGUUGCCCAUAUUCUGCUACCAAGGUGGCCGAAUAUUUCAGAUGCUUCUACAAUGGUUUCAGCGAAGAUGCAACCAGAUGGUUCCCUUAUCAAAAGGAGGAACCACUCUUCGAGCUCCCCUCUUGUUUUGACUCGGCCACCAAUAAAUUUGAUGAGGACCUCACAGAUGAGUUGAUCAAGCUGGGGAUUCUGCCGGUGAAUUUCUUCUCGGGGAAGGACGCCUCCACUUAUGAGUUUUACAACCCUUCUGUUGCAGCACGGCAAUUUGGCUUAGGUCAACUGCCGAUUUAUGCAUACUUCGCCGGCCGAGCAAAAUUCCGAGACGACCUCACCAAAGUUCUUGACUACAGUCGGCUGUACGAUCGGAUCCCAGACUCCAGCACCAUAGACCUUACCGAUUGGAUAGUAGCUCCUUUCGCCGUUCAGCAGUUCAAGAUAUGGUGGGUAGAAUGGAAACAGCAUCUAUUCUGCGCCUCCGCGGUGAUAUAUUGCAACCUCCUGGACCCUGACAACAUUGACCCGAAUGCUGAGGUAUCGCCCUCUUUUUAACCGAUUUUCAACUCCCUCUUUAUAUAUGUACCACUGACUCUUAUUAUUUUUUCAGUCUGAGAGUUGCGCUCCCCCAAAACGCAGUCGGAGCGGCCGGCCGAUAGAGGACCGUUAUCCAUACACGGAAUUCCCCUUCAUCGGUUAUCACACCCCCUCCGUCGACGACAUAGCUGGCCGGGCGAAGCAAGCGCAGAAGAAGAUCAUCAAGAAAACCAGUCGUCGGGUGAGAGCCCGCACAGAAUCGGCCGAUCCACCCGCGGCUGCAUCGGCGGAAAUUUUGGUUGCGCCGACCCUUCCGGUUGCUGAAGAAGUUGACCUCCAAGCUACUACAGAAGCUGGAGCGGCGGCCGCAUCAUUGUUGGUAGAAGCCGUUCAGGUAAACUCAUCAUUUGAUUUUCUCCUGGUCAUUACUUCAAUACUGACUUUCCCUAUACCAGGCAGCACAAACCGCCCCGGUGGGUCUACAGCAAUCGGCGAUGUCUCAAACAGAAACCGAAGUACCAGUGCUUCCGCCCGCUGAGGUAUAGGGCCUCUCAACUUAACUCUUUUAAUAUUUAAGCGAUAACCUUACCGAUUCUGAUGCAGGUCAUUGGCACGCUAACCAUGCUCCCUGAACAGCCGUCUGUCAGAGAAGUCCUUCAAGAAGCCGGCCCUAGCAGGACGCCGAUUAUCGUCGAAUCCUCCUCUUCCGACGAGCCGAUCGCACCAGUCCCCGAGCCAAGGGUAGUGAUUCCGCAGACGCAAAUGGAAGAGAUCCGCUUCAAAGAAGUAAGAAAUCUUAUAACCCGUAUUGGCCGAUUUGCUACCACCAUCGGCUGAUUUAUUUUUUAUUUAUCAUUUUGCAGGAACAGGACACUCCCAAUAACAGCCUCUUCUUGUUUGCGGUUGCGCUUUCUGAUGACGAAGAAGUCGCUUCCUGUGAAGUCACCUUGAGCUCAGUACCCGACGAUGUCCGCGCCAAGCUUGAAAAUAUACGGACGCUUCUCCAAGAAGACAUCGGCCAACUGGUGGAGGAUGCCUCGCCGAUUCGGCAACUCUUUGGUGACGUCAGCGGUCGAGUCCUAGAAGAAGCCAAAGAAGCCUUGGCACCCGCCGCUUAUAUUGAAUCGAUGCGGAUCCCGGUCUUCAGGGCUCUGCGUCACAUGGCCGAUCGCGCCAAGCUAGCCAAGACUCGUGAGGAGGAGGACUCUUACAAGCAUUGGGCCCAAGAGGUACACCAUCGGAUUCACUUCCUCGAGAACUCCCAUCCCGAACUCGUCUGUACGAUAGAUCAUCUCAAGCGCCGAAGGGCGGAACUUGCCAAGGAGAUGGAGCAAGUAACCAAAGAGAUAGCCAUUGAAGAGAAGAAGCUUCAGGAACUCCCUUCCGUUAUCGCCGAUUUGAAGCAGGAGAGGCAGCACCUGGCCCACGAGGCCCUCAGACUUCAUCGUCACAUGCCAGAAGUCCCGGGGUCAGCGGAGGAUGGCCAGCACGUCUUAGACUCGGCCGAUCAGAUCAGGCGACGAGCGAUCGCGGCCAUUAAUGCCAUUCUGGGAUGAUCUGUAAAAGUACUGGCCGUUUUGUAAGAACAUUAAUACCUUUUGACCAUCCUUCGCGGCGCGCUUUUAUUUAUUACCCUUUUAUUCCGACGGGACGCGUCUUACCAAACCUCCGCCCUUUCUCUUCUUAUAAAUAUCGGCCCUAAUUUCGCUCUCUAGACUACUUGCCCCACUCGAUUCCUUUCCCGAUUACUUUUUCAUUGGAACGUUUGCAGGCAUGUCUUCUUCGUCUUCUUCUUUCUCUUCUCCUUUCGUUAAUCAGGUAUAAGAUCCGUCUUCGUUCCUUCUUUUUAGUUUGAUUCCUUUAAACCGUCCUAACUUUUAGGCGGUUAUAUGUUAACCUUUUCAGCCAAAUAGCCUCCCGAACUUGAACGAGCGAUCAAACUCAUGCUCUCCGACGAACCAUUGUUGCAAGAAGAUAGGGAACUGAUCAAGGCACACCGUGAAGAACUCAGAGAUCACGUUCCUGCCGAUGUCCGACGGAUCUGGGAUCACAUCGACGGCAACUGUUACAGGCAGCCGCCGAUCAAUAGGAGCCACCCACUCCCUUACCCGGUCGCCCUUGAAGACGCCGUGGCAGGAACAUCUCGUGCGAUACUGGAUCGGAGCCAUCCUCUUCCUCGCCAGGUAGAGGCAGAAGCCGCGAUGAAGGAUGUAGAAGAAUGAAGCACUCGCCUUCUGAUAGAAUUAGGUCGGAUUGAGAGGGAACUCAAGAAGAAGCGUAGUUGAGAAUUUUUGUUCUAAGGGCGACUUGUACCGUGUCGGCCGUGCAACUUAUCAUCCAAAUCGAAUAAUAAAUCGGCCAACUUGAACGAUUACUCUUUCUCUUCUAGGCGAUAUCUCCAUCGGCUAUGUGAUUAUCUAGGAAAUAAUCAUUUUGCCUCGUCAUAAUGAUCUUUAUGCAUCGACCCAUAUACUAGGGUAUAUCUUUUCAAGUACCUCCCGUUCAAGGCCCUAGUAAUUCUUCCCCUUCGAUAGUCUCCAGAAUGUACGUGUUUCCCGGAGCGCAUCGGCCGAUUCUAUACGGCCCUUCCCAAGUCGGGGACCAUUUACCGAACUUAGGAUCCUUAGAUGCGAUCGGCAGCACCAAUUUCCAUACCAGAUCCCCUUGGGAGAACUGCUUGACUUUGACCUUCUUGUCAUACCACCUGGCUACUUUCUUUUUGUUCUCCUCAAUACUGAUCAAGGCUCUCAGCCGUUGACCCGCCAAAUUGUCAAGUUCCCUUUUCAUAAGCGAGGAGUAAUCAUCGGCCGUCAGCUGAUCUUGAAGCGACGUUCAUCUUGAGCCCAUUCUCAACUCCCAUGGCAAUACCACCUCAUGACUGUACACCAGUUGAUAAGGAGAUACCUUGGUAGCUUCGUGGCAAGCCAUUCUGUACGCCCAUAGGGCUUCGGUUAAACACAAGUGCCACUUUUUGGGUUGUUCCUCGAUUUUCCUCUUGAUCAACUUAAUUAUCCCCUUAUUGGAUGACUCGGCCUGGCCGUUAGCUUGAGCAUAAUACGGGGAGGAAUUUAGCAGUUUGAUCCCCAUAUCGGCCGUGAACUCCUCGAAUUCGCCAGAUGUGAACAUCGUUCCUUGAUCGGUCGUGAUGGUCUGAGGGAUGCCGAAGUGAUAGACAAUGUGGUCCCUUACGAAAUCGACCAUAGCAGCCGAUGUUACGGCUUUUAAUGGAAUCGCUUCCACCCACUUGGUGAAAUUGUCUGUUGCUACUAGAAUGAAUUUGUGUCCCUUACUUGACGAAGGAUAUAUUUGUCCGAUGAGAUCUAUUCCCCAACCUCUGAACCGUCACGGCUUGAUAAUUGGAUUCAUAGCCGAUGCGGGCGCGUGUUGCACGUUCCCAUAUUUUUGACAAUCUUGGCAUCCUUUAUAAUAUUUGAAACAGUCCUCAAGGAUUGUCGACCAAUAAUAUCCAUUAUUCCUAAUCAUCCACUUCAUCUUAUGCGCCGAUUGGUGGGCUCCACACACCCCUUCGUGGAUUUCUCCCAUCAGUGUUUUUGCCUCCUCAGUCCCUAGGCAUUUGAGUAGAACACCAUCAAUCGUCCGGUAGAAUAAGUCAUUUUCUAGUAACACAUACUUUGUGGCUUGAAAUCGUACUCGCCGAUCCACUUUCUUAGAUGGGUCUUUUAAAUAAUCGGCGAUGUCUUUUCGCCACUCAUCAGCCGCAAGUUCCAGAAUCAUGGCGCCUUGAAUCUGCCGAUAUCCGGACGCGUGCUGAGCAAGCCUGUUGGCUUCUUCAUUAUAAUCCCUGGGGAUAUGCUUGAUAACCGCGGAUUUGAAUUCUUUCAGAAGCUGGAGGCAAUCUUCAUAAUAAAUCCUUAAUACGUCAUCCUUGCACUCGGAUCUUCCUGUCAAUUGGUCCACGAUGAGCAUGGAAUCUCCAAAAAUCUCGACGGCGUCGGCCUUGAUCUCUCUUAACAAUUGUAACCCUUUUAGGACGGCCCGGUAUUCCACCUGGUUAUUGGUGGCGGAUGCUUCUAUCAGCAGAGAGAAGUCAUAACUUGCCCCCCGAGGCGAUAUGAGAACGAUGCCGAUUCCCGAUCCGGCCCCACAUGACGAGCCAUCAAAAUAUAAGGUCCAUGGUACUGGUUCCACGACGGCGAUUUCUGGUCCGCAGUGCUGGGUGACAAAAUCGUCCAUGACCUGACCUUUGAUGGCUUUUGCUGAUUCGUAUUGUAGAUCAAACUCCAAUAAAGCCAAAAUCCACUUUCCGAUCUACCCUUUUAAAAUCGGCAAUGACAGCAUGUACUUCACUACGUCAUCCUUGCAUACGACUACGCAUUCUGCCGAUAAUAAGUAGUGCCUGAGCUUGGUGCAUGAGAAGUAAAGAUAUAGGCAUAGCCGCUCUACCAGAGGAUAUCUUGUUUCAGUGUCCAGAAGCCUUCUGCUAACAUAAUAUAUCACCCGUUCCUUUCCUUCAAACUCCUGGAUUAACGCCGACCCAAUAGCUCGCUCAUCGGCCGAUAAAUAUAGCUUGAAUGGCUUACCAGUUUGUGGUGGGACCAACACGGGAGGCGAGGCUAAGUACUGCUUGAUGUCUUCUAGCGCCUUGCGUUGCUCUCCUCCCCAUACAAAUUCUUGGUUGGGUUUUAAUUUUAAUAACAGUGUGAAAGCCUGGAUACGUCCGGAUAGGUUGGAUAUGAAUCUUCUGAUGAAAUUGACUUUGCCGAUCAAGGAUUGCAACUCGGUUUUAUUCUACGGGGCCACGACUUUAUUGAUAGCCGCUAUAGUCUUCCGGUUGAUCUCUAUCCCACGCUCAUGAACCAUGAAACCCAAGAAUUGUCUGGCGGAUACACCGAAAGCACAUUUGUUCGGAUUCAUUUUUAACCCAUGCCUUCUCGUACAUUCCAAUACUUGCCACAAAUCGGCCAGAUGUUCCUAGUGUCCUUUUGAUUUGACCACGACGUCGUCAAUGUAAAUUUCUACUAGUAUGCCGAUAAGUUUGUGAAAUAUGUAAUUCAUGGCUCGUUGAUACGUAGCGCCGGCGUUCUUCAAACCGAAAGUCAUUACCACCCAUUCGAACAAUCCGAGGUGACCUAGGCACCUGAAAGCUAUUUUCGAUAUGUCCUCUUCGGCCAUUAGUAUUUGAUUGUAUCUGGCAUUUCUAUCCAUGAAACUGAUGACUUUGUGACCUGCGGCGGCGUCUAUUAACACAUCGGCUGUCGGCAUCGGGUAACCGUCCAUCGGCGUAGCCUGAUUAAGGUUCCUGAAGUCAAUGCACACGCGUAGCUUUCCGUUCUUCUUGUAUACGGGCACGAUGUUGAAGAUCCACUCGGUAUAACGGCAUUGCCGAAAAAAACUUCGCUUCAAUCACUCUUGUGAUUUCGGCCUUUAUAUCAGGUAAGAUUUUAGGAUUACAUCGUCGCGCGGGCUGCUGAUAUGGCCGAUAUCCCAGCUUUAUGGGUAGCCGGUGUUCGACAAUGGACCGGUCUAAUCCGGGCAUUUCAUGGUAUUCCCAAGCAAAGCAAUCUUUAAACUCUUUCAAUAAAUCUGUCAAUUUACAUUUGUAUUCCGGAUCCAAAUUAGCACUAAUGUACGUCGGCCUUGGCUUGGUGCCAUCGCCUAAAUCUAUCGCCUUUAAUGAGUCGGCCAACGUAAACCCGUGCCCUAGCUUCCCGUCUUCCCGGACGAAAUGAUCCAUUUAAUCUAAAUCUUCGAAGCCGACUGCUCAGAUCGGCUGUAGACCAAAAUCGGACACCUUCAGGAAAUCAGUGUCCCAAAUUCUCCCGGAUAUGCACUUGACGUUCUCGCAGCUCCAUUGCUGUGCAUCGGCCGCCGCGACGCUGUACGCGGAAUCGGCGGUGACCACCUCGAUGUUGUCGCCGACCCAUUGCACGAGGCAUUGGUGCACAGUAGACGGGAUGCAGCAAUUUGCGUGUAUCCAGUAUCAGCCGAGUAGCAUGUUGUAGGACCCUUUGCCAUUGAUAAUAAAGAAAGUGGUGGGAAGAGUCUUACUGCUGAUGGUGAGGCUGACGCAGAGCGCGCCGCGGGCGGGAGACACGUUGCCUUUGAAGUCUUUGAGCAUCAUGUCCGUCUUGGUCAGAUCAUCGUCACUUUUUCCUAGCUUCCGGAACAUGGCGUACGGCAUGAUGUUGACAGCAGCUCCUCCAUCUACUAGUAGUCUGGUGAUGGGUCGGCCAUUGACAUGUCCUUUGAGGAACAACGCCUUGAGGUGCUGCCUUUUUUCAUCCUCGGGUUUCUCGAAGGUGGCUGUCAUUGGCUCCAAAGCCAAUUGCGCCAUCUGUUCUUCUAUUGCCGACAUGUUAUGUCGGUCGGCAGGAGUCAUGAACUCCAUCGGCAGAAUUAAAACCAUGCUGACAUCAGUUGCCGAUUCUUGGUUGUCACCGCCUUCCUUGUCAUUUCUUCUGGGAUGCCACACUCGAGGCCUGUUGAUUUGCUUGUUCAUCACCUGUUGUUGCUCCUCUUCCUGUUGUUCCCAUUGGCGGAGACGCUGGAUUCUUCGUUUUUGUGAUUUGGUCAAUCCGUCGGGGCACCACCUGGGGUUUACUGGUUUAGCCGAUGGCUUGGCCCGUUCCCAUUCUGGUUCCCGUCCCAAGGGGUUCUCAUCUGAUACCCGAGCGUCAGCCAUCUCUUCCAACCGAUCAUGUGUGCUGGCCCUGCCCUCUGGUUGGUCGCGCUGAUCGAAUCUACCCCCCGGCCUAUCGUUUCGCGCAUGCCUAUCUUCCGACCGAUUAUAUCGAUCACUUCUUCCCCCCAGCCGAUCACGCACUGAAGGGCGCCGGUUCUCUUGCUCGUGCCAGUUUCUGCUGAUCGGCUCUGGCCUUCCAUCUCUGGAGCGAGAUCUUCUAAAUGGUCGUUUGUUGCGAUACAGGCCAUUGCAGUCGGGCAAAUGUCGGCUGACGGCAACCUAAGGUUAUUCUCCCAGCAGUGGAUGAAGAACGGGCAUCGCCAGUGAUCUUCAUGUCAUCGCAUCAUCUCUUCCCGGAAUCUUGAACUUUCUUGUUGCCAUUGAUACUUGUUGAGCAGAAAUUGGGAGGUGAUGGGCCUGCGUGGUUCUCCUGAUCCUUCGCCUUCAUCCUCCAUCCGUCGUUUCUCUUUGACGUCUUCGGGCGCCGCUUGAUUCCUGGGGUCUACGGCACCGCUCUUUUUAGCCGAUUCCGAUGUUAGCACCUUGGUCUAGAGUGAGUUCCUUCUUGUAUCGACCAUGUUGGUAGGGAACGGAUGCUGAUCGAUCUUCAUUGGCUUUACUGGCUUUGUCGGGACUUCGAACUUGAGCCUGCCUUGCUCAAUGGCCGAUUGUAUUUGCUGUCGGAAGAUUUUGCAUUCGUUCGUAUCAUGGGAGGUGGCAUUAUGCCACUUGCAAUAUUUCAUCUUCUUCAGCUGUUCGGCCAACGGGAUCGUAUGGUAUGGUGAGACCUUGAUUUGUCCUUCCUGGAGGAGGAGAUCGAAAAUUUUAUCGGCCUUUGACGUGUCAAAACCGAAUGCCUCUGACUCCUUUUUUCCGAACGGACACGAUAUCGGCUUCUUCCCUUUAACCCACUCCGCCAGGCCGAUUUCUGUUUCUUCUUCAGACUCAGCUCCCUCUAAGUACGCCACCUUCUUCUAGAAAUUCCUCCAUGGAUCAAAGAAACGUACUUCCUGGUCGGACAGUCGAUGUACAAUUUGGCUCAGGCUCUCGAACUCCUGUGAAGCAUAUUUUUCUUUGAUGUGAGGCAAGAGACCCUGGAAGGCUAUAUCGGCCAAUUGUGCGUCAGUUAGGACUAGGGUGUAGCAUUUGUUCCUGAAUUCUCUGAACCUCUACACGUAUGUGGACACCGGCUCAUCACUCCUCUGUCUGAGGCUGGUUAAGUCUGAAAGCUUCAUCUCAUGUACCUGUGGCGGAGCCACCUCGGAUUAACUAGAUUAAGCAGAGUUAAGUCGCCUAACAUGCGACACUCCCGCCUAAACCGAGUUAAUGCGAAGUGCCGUCGGAUUUUCAUCCGAUUUAACCACUUAAACAGGAUCGAGUUCAGCAAACCCACACAAGGGUGAGCGGUUACAGAGAAUACAACAAGUCCACUGAGUUAAACAAGUUUUACCCAUUUAAAUCGGUCAUAAAAAAAAUCCAACAUCAGAUUUUUACGAGAUUCAAGAAAACAACAGAGUCACACUAGCGGAAGACUUCGUCGGGGUCGGAUGUCCGGGCGAGGCCAGCCAGAACAUCACUGAGUCCUCUCCUCGCCGUCCGAGGAGGGGUCCCACUCGACCGUCCAGCCUGGCGGGAGCUGGGGCGGCCAAGCACCAACCAGAGAGGGGUCGGAAGCAGCAACUUCACCUGAAAACAGAAGCCACAACCAGGCUGAGCUACUAAGCUCAACAAGACUUAACCGAUGGGAGUGAGGGCUACUCCUCUUUCUAGACAUGCAAGGCUCUUUGGCUGAGGGGUUUGUUUGCCAAAGGCACUAAAUAUCUCUAUAUCAGUUUUUAGCUCAGGUUCUAUGUUCAUUUACCAGUCUAGGUUGUACGACCUAUUCUAAGCAUUCAUAGAACCAACAAAAAGUGUAGAUGUAACAACAACAUUGCCAUCAUCAGAUUCCUUAUUUACUCAGUGUGACAUAGCGAUCAAGCAGUCUCAAACUGUGAGAGGCAGACGAAUCGAUUCGAGUUCUUUAACCAUGCAUGGUGAACCUAGCCUCACGACAUCCGCGCAUCCGGAGGUCGCUUCCUGUGUCGGCCUUCCCCAUCAAUCCCCUAACCCGUGUCGGGCCCAUUUCCUUUGGUGCAAGGUUCCACAGACCCGGCCUCUGCCAUCCUGUGACCACACAUUGCCACCACGUGCGACAACCAGCAGGGGAAACUCCGUUCCAAGAACAAUGGGGCGACCGCUCACGUCUAGGUUCAAUCCGGUACUAGGCUUCCUCAUCCCAUACUAAGUAUGAGGCUAGUACUUUCAAACACUUGAUCAAGAACACCACCACUGUCGGGCCUUAGCAAGAUUGCAUAGACAGACGGGGCAACCUUCCGACCACCAAAGAGUUACCCAAAACCCUGCCCCGUCCGUCGUCCUUAUAGUUCUGACAGGAGAGGAAACAUGCAACUCCUAUAACUCGCGAGUGACAGGAAAUCACUCGACUUUUACCGUAUCCUAAUUAAGCAAUGCAGCUACUCGGUCCAACAACUAGUGCUCAGAUCACUGGGAUAACUAGUCAUGCAUCUAGGGUUUCACACAACUCCUAUACGUAAAUGCACAAGCAUGUUACAGAAGGCAUGCGCAAGUUUGGUAAAACACAUAGGACUUUCAUGCAACCGGGGCUUGCCUUCAAGCAAGGAGGACGGGAACUGCUCGACUUCGGGGGCGACUUCGACUUCGGAGGGCAGGAGCUCGGCUACAGCUUCUUCUUCUGGCGCCGGGUGAAGCUCGUAGAAGCCGUCGGCGAGGCGCAGCUCUACACGAAUGCAAUGCAAGGGUUAGCUUAGACGGUUAAUUCAACAGCAACACUGGCUCUCCUGAGCCCAGAAACUCGCGACAAGGAGCAGGAGGUGAUGGUGGUUCGAGAGCUGAGGAUAAACAAAAGGUAAGGGUAGGAAGGAAUUAGUGGUUUGAUCCUUGAACUAGAGGAUGUGAUAACUGGGAUCCUCAGACGCAAGCGCUGGAGGGUUUCCAAGUUUUACACAGACACCCUCGAGUUGAAGAAAAAGAUCACAGCCAAGCCCUCGGGCGGGGCGGAUAAAGGUCGACAGAACAGAUAGGGUCGGACGAGACGGAACUGGGGUCGGGCGGAUAGGAGGGGUCGGGCGAGGCGGACUUGGGGUCAGCAACUCACCUUCUUCCUGAAAGGAAGGCUUGGGGUCGGGAAGAAGAGAACUUGGGCGGAGUGACUAAAGCUUCAAGCAAGGGCUAAGACUGGCAAUGCUCUGGCGGCGGCGCUGUUUCUUGCGGAUCACAAGAGAGCUCUUACGCAGCACGGGGAGCAAGCUGCUGGGUGACUUGGAGGAACUGAGAGGGAACUGGGAGAAGAACUUCUCAAGAACUAGGUGGAUGGCGUUAGGAGCUUGAGCAGGGAGCUAGAGAAGGCUAAAGGCAACAAGAGCGGAGGGAACUCCGGCGACGGGGGCAUCCCUUUUAUAGCUGCUGGAGCAGAGAAACGGAAACGGCGCGGGGAGAGAGAAGGGGAGCGGUGCGAAGGCCGGGGAGAAGCAAUGGAGUGCUCUGCCGGGGCGGCGAUUGAGCAAAGGAGGCGGUGCGGCAGAACUCCGGGGGUGACGCCAGCGAUCAUUGCGUUCUGCCGUCAGGGCGGCGUAGGGACGGGUAGACUGGUGGUUGAGAUUUGGCGGAAAGCGGGCGUCGUCGUGCGGAAGAUUUGAUCGAAGUGACCGGCUUAACGGCGCUAGAAACGAGGGCGCUCGGGUGAGAAGACAGGCGGACGCGGGCGCGGGGGAGAGCAUGGAACAACAGAUUGUCGGGCGGCUUCUGACAGAGCGGGGAAAGGAACUGUCGCGGCCGCGGUCGGGGUUGGCGGUGGAGGAAUCGUCGUGUAGCGACGACCGGGUGGCGCAACUGUGGCUGAAGGGACGGAAAAGACGGGCGACAUCGGGCUCUGGGGCCGGGAUCUGGUGGUGUGAUGAUGGGCGCGGGAGGCGAGGUUCUGCAGAAAGGGGUGCAGAGGGCUUCCGCUGCGAUUGGGGAAGAGGGGCGCGGGAACCCACUCUGCUGCUUGCCAGAGACAAAACUGAGCGAUGGCGUCGGAGAAGAUGAGCCACGCGGCAGGAAGGCUCUGAGGCGGCCAUGCAACUCGAGUGCGGCUGUCGCGGGGGAUCUGGAAAAGAUCUCGCGGGUCCACUUGUGGAUAGAUCUGACGGGUGAGGAAGAUCAGCAGAAUCCGACGGUGGGCUGAGCUCGCCGGGGUCGGGAGAGGGGCGAAGAAGGAAGUGGUCGGAUCUCAGGGGUCGGGACCGGCGGAAAACUGGGCACUUAGGUGCGGUCGAGCUAAACAGCUGACUAAGGUUAAGGGCUGGGAUCUAGCCUAACUGGGAAGGCUUAGGGGUCGGUCGUUACAGUACCCCUGCGUAGAAGUAAUUGUGGAACUGCUUCUCCAUGUCAGCCCAUGUAAUUAUGGAGUUGGGUGGCAGCGUAGUAAACCAUUGGAAGGCCAACCCGGACAGGGAUGACGAGAAGAGGCGUACCCAUAGAGCGUCUUGUGUAGCUGCUUCCCCACAUUGGAUGAUGAAUCUGUUUACGUGUUCCACAGUUGAGGUAUCAUCAAGCCCCGAAAACUUGGUGAAAUUAGGAACUUUGUACCGAUGGGGAAACGGCAGUAAGUCAUAGGUAGGCGGGUACGGCAUUCUGUAUGUGUAGGUUUGCACCUUCGUCUUUAAACCGAAUUGUUCUUGAAUCACCUCUGCUAUCCGUGCCGUCCAGUCUGCUUGUUGUUGAUGAACUAUCGGCUGGGGGACCAGCACGUGUUGGUAGAUUGGCGGUGGGAUGACCGGGUGGUGGCCGAAGGCGUGCGGCGCCUGAGGUCACGCGGCCGGCUGUGUAGUCGGCGUCGGUUGUCUCAGUGAACCGGCCGUUUCAUCAUAUAGUACAAUCGGUGCAGAGCCCCGAAGUGUUUCUGUUGUUUCUGCCCCCCUGCCCAUCUGCGUGGUUCUCCUGAUCCUUCGCCUUCAUCCUCCAUCCGUCGUUUCUCUUUGACGUCUUCGGGCGCCGCUUGAUUCCUGGGGUCUACGGCACCGCUCUUUUUAGCCGAUUCCGAUGUUAGCACCUUGGUCUAGAGUGAGUUCCUUCUUGUAUCGACCAUGUUGGUAGGGAACGGAUGCUGAUCGAUCUUCAUCGGCUUUACUGGCUUUGUCGGGACUUCGAACUUGAGCCUGCCUUGCUCAAUGGCCGAUUGUAUUUGCUGUCGGAAGAUUUUGCAUUCGUUCGUAUCAUGGGAGGUGGCAUUAUGCCACUUGCAAUAUUUCAUCUUCUUCAGCUGUUCGGCCAACGGGAUCGUAUGGUAUGGUGAGACCUUGAUUUGUCCUUCCUGGAGGAGGAGAUCGAAAAUUUUAUCGGCCUUUGACGUGUCGAAACCGAAUGCCUCUGACUCCUUUUUUUCGAACGGACACGAUAUCGGCUUCUUCCCUUUAACCCACUCCACCAGGCCGAUUUCUGUUUCUUCUUCAGACUCAGCUCCCUCUAAGUACGCCACCUUCUUCUAGAAAUUCCUCCAUGGAUCAAAGGGACGUACUUCCUGGUCGGACAGUCGAUGUACAAUUUGGCUCAGGCUCUCGAACUCCUGUGAAGCAUAUUUUUCUUUGAUGUGAGGCAAGAGACCCUGGAAGGCUAUAUCGGCCAAUUGUGCGUCAGUUAGGACUAGGGUGUAGCAUUUGUUCCUGAAUUCUCUGAACCUCUGCAUGUAUGUGGACACCGGCUCAUCACUCCUCUGUCUGAGGCUGAUUAAGUCUGAAAGCUUCAUCUCAUGUACCCCUGCGUAGAAGUAAUUGUGGAACUGCUUCUCCAUGUCAGCCCAUGUAAUUAUGGAGUUGGGUGGCAGCGUAGUAAACCAUUGGAAGGCCGACCCGGACAGGGAUGACGAGAAGAGGCGUACCCAUAGAGCGUCUUGUGUAGCUGCUUCCCCACAUUGGAUGAUGAAUCUGUUUACGUGUUCCACAGUUGAGGUAUCAUCAAGCCCCGAAAACUUGGUGAAAUUAGGAACUUUGUACCGAUGGGGAAACGGUAGUAAGUCAUAGGUAGGCGGGUACGGCGUUCUGUAUGUGUAGGUUUGCACCUUCGUCUUUAAACCGAAUUGUUCUUGAAUCACCUCUGCUGUCCGUGCUGUCCAGUCUGCUUGUUGUUGAUGAACUAUCGGCUGGGGGACCAGCACGUGUUGGUAGAUCGGCGGUGGGAUGACCGGGUGGUGGACGAAGGCGUGCGGCGCCUGAGGUGACGCGGUUGGCUGUGUAGUCGGCGUCAGUUGUCUCAGUGAACCGGCCGUUUCAUCAUAUAGUACAAUCGGUGCAGAGCCCCGAAGUGUUUCUAUUGUUUCUGCCCCCCUGCCUAUCUCUAGAGCGACUGGUUGAUACUGUGGGACCAUCGGCCGCACGACCAAUUAGAAAGGUGCCUGGAUCGAAGAGCUUCCAUAGCCGGCCGACUGAUCUUGGACGACUGACGCCGAUGGUGCCCCCCAAGGCAUUGAGUUUAGUGAAGAUGAUUGCGUGGAACAAAUCUGAGUGGGUUGAGGCGGCGCAUGCGGCUGAAGGUAUGGUGUGCCGUUGUAUCCCAGAUGCGUUGAUGACGAAGGAGCGCUAGAUCCUCCCGGCUGACCUUGAAUCGGCUGAGGAGCCGAGUAAGGUAUACUUGGAGAACUCCUGACCGGGGCUGUGAUAGGUGGUGCGUACGCUGGCCCCUGGUACCCUUGAGACACACCAUUAGCCAGGGAGCUGAUGACGGCAUUGUAUACCGUAUUAGUUAUCACCGGAGAUUGAUCGAUGAAAGCUUGGUAGAUGGACUGUUGAACCAUCUCGGACAUCUUGCCCGAGUCCUCGGCGAUUGUAAUCUGGCGGGGAGUUGGAAAAGGGGCUUUCCUGACAGUUUCCCUGCUCCUGGUACGACUGAAGGAUUGUAAGCAUGUCUUUUGGUAGUGUGCUAUUUGCUUCUCCAGCUCUUCCUUCUGGUCGUCCUUGAGGUCUGCUUCCGUCACCUCGAUGACGUUAUCUUCAGAGAUUUCGACAGCUUUCGACAUGGUAGUGGUUAUGUUUGUCCCACCGGGCGUGCCAAAAGUGUGUUGGCGCUAGAAAUCAGUCGAUUGAACUUCCAGCGUUGGACACAUGACCCGGGAGAAUCUGCUUAACUCCUGUUCGGGUGGUCGCCCUGGUGCGGUUCGCGCGGCGUGCCAGCCAAUCUGACCUGUCGAUUAGCAAGGAAAGAAACGUGUCAGAUCCCAGAGGUUGCGAUCGGCUAAGGUUCCGAUCUUGAGGGAGCUUAUCAGCGAAUCGGCUGAUUUGCUGUAACAAAGAAAUCGGCUAUAAUACAGUCGAUUACCGGGCAACGUUGGUGAAGAAAACUACAAGAGUAAACUGAACAGCUGUGGCGGAUCCACUUCGGAUCUACUGGGUUAGACAUGAUUUAGCCGCCUGAUAUGCGACGCUCAUGACUAAGACGAGUAAACGCGAAGUGCCGUCGGAUUUUCCUCCGAUUUAACCACUUGAACAGGACCGAUUUAGCAGACUCACACAAAGGUGAGCGGUUCCAUAGAGUACAACAAGUCCAUCCAUAUUAACAAAUUAACCACUGGAUUUAGUUGCGAAAGAACAUCAGAGUUUUACAAGCUUUCGGAAAACAACAGAAGGUAAAACACUAGCGGAAGCAAUCGUCGGGGUCGGAUGUCCUGGUGAGGCCAGCCGGGACAUCACUGGUCCCUCUCCUCGCCGUCCGAGGAGGGAUCCCACUUGACCGUCCAGCCCGGCGGGAGCUGGGGCGGCCAAGCGCCAGCAAGAGAGAGGUCGGGAGCAGCAACUUCACCUGAAAAACAGGAGCCACAACAAGGUUGAGCUACUAAGCUCAACAAGACUUAACCGAUAGGAGUAAAACUACUCCACACUUCUAGACAUGCAGGACUUUCUGGCUGAGGGGUUUGCUUGCAAAAGGUACUAAGUACAACCCUAUUUUCAAGUUUUAACUCCGGUUCUGAGUUCUUUAACCAGUCUAGGUUUUGCAACCUAUUCUAAGCAAUCAUAGAGCCAAACAAGGUAUGUAUAUCAACAAAACCAUGUCAUUAUCAAAUUCCUCCUUUACUCAGGGUGACAUAGCGAUCAAGCAAUCUCAAACUGUGAGAGGCAGACGAAUCGAUUCGAAUUCUUAAACCAUGCAUGGUGAACCUAGCCUCACGACAUCCACGCACCCGGAGGUCGCUUCCUGUGUCGGCUGUCCCCAUCAAUCCCCUAACCCGUGUCGGGCCCAUUUCCUUUGGUGCAAGGUUCCACAGACCCGGCCUCUGCCGUUCUGUGGCCACGCAUGCCACCACGUGCGACAUCCAGCAGGGGAAACUCCAUUCCAAGAACAAUGGGGCGACCGCUCACGUCUAGGUUUAAUCCGGUACUAGGCUUCCUCAUCCCAUACUAAGUAUGAGGCUAGUACUUUCAAACACUUGAUCACGAACACCACCACUGUCGGGCCUUAGCAAGUUUUCAUAGACAGACGGGGCAACCAUCCAUCCACCAAAGAGUUACCAAAACCCUGCCCCGUCCAUCGUCCUUAUAGUUAUAACAGAAAGGUAGACAUGCAACUCCUACAACUCGCGAGUGACAGGGAAUCACUCGGCUUUUACCGUCUCCUAGUUAAGCAAUGCAACUACUCGGUCCAACAGCUAGUGCUCAGAUCAUGGGGAUAACUAAGUCAUGCAUCUAGGGUUUCAAACAACUCCUAUACGUAAAUGCACAAACAUGUUACAGAAGGCAUGCGCAAGUUUGGAAAACAGCGCAGGGUUUUCAUGCAACCGGGGCUUGCCUUCGAGCAAGGAGGAAGAGAACUGCUCGACUUCGGGGGCGACUUCGGCUUCAGCGGCCAGGAGCUCAGCUACAGCUUCGUCUUCUAGCGCUGGGUGUAGCUCGUAGAAGCCGUCGGCGAGGCGUAGCUCUACAUGAAUGCAAUGCAAGAGUUAGCAUAGAAGGUUAUUUCAAUACCAACACUUGCUCGCCUGAGCCCAGAAACUCGCGACAAGGAGCAGGAGGGUGGGGAGGUUCAAGAGAGCUGGUGGAGCUCAAGAGGCAAGGGUCGGAAAGGAAACUUAUGAUCUGAUCCUUGAACUAGAGGAUGUGGUAUACUAGGGAUCCUCAGACGCAAGCGCUGAAGGGUUCCUAAGUUUUACACAUACACCCUCGGGUUAAAGAAAAGAUCAUAGCCGAGCCCUCGGGCGAGGUGGAUAAGGGUCGGCGGAACCGAUAGGGUCGGGCGAGACGGAACCGGGGUCGGGCGGAUAAGAGGGGUCGGGCGAAGCGGACUGGGGUUGGCAGCUUACCUUCUUCCUACAAGGAAAGCUUGGGGUCGGGAAAAGGCAGACUUGGGCGGAGGGACUAAGGCUUUGAACAACGGCUAAGACCGGUAGUGCUCCAGCGGCGGUGCUUCUUGUGGGUCACAAGUGAGCUUUACACAGCAUGGAGGAGCAAGCGGCUGGGUGGCUUGGAGAAAACGGAGGGGAGCUGAGGGGAGAGUUCCUCAAGAGCUUUAGGGUGUGGUGCUAGGAGCUUGAACAGGGAGCACGAAAAUGGCUGAAAGCAACAAUGGUGGAGGGAACUCCGGCGGGCUUGUGCAUUCCUUUUUAUAGCUGCUGAAAUAGGGAAGGGAAGCGGCGCGGGAGAGAGAAGGGGAGCAGCGCGAAGGCCGGGGAGAAGCAAUGGAGUGCUCUGCCGGGGCGGCGAUUGAGCGAAGAGGGCGGUGGUGCAGGACUCAGGGAUGACGCCAGCGGUCAUUGGGUUCUGUCGUCAGGGCGGCGCAGGAGCGGGUAUGCCGGUGGUUGAGAUUUGGCGGAGGCGGGCGUCGUCGUGCGGAAGAUUUGAUAGAAGCGACCGGUUUAACGGCGCUGGAAUCAAGGGCGCACAGGUGAAAAGACAUGCAGCCGCGGGCGCGUGGGCGAGCGCGGAGCAACAGAUUGCCAGGCGGCUUCUGGCAGGACGGGGGAAAGGAGCUGUCGCUGCUGUGGUCGGGGUUGGCGAUGGAGGAAUCGUCGUGUAGCGGAGACCAGGCGGCGCGACUGAGAUCGAAGUGAUGGAAAAGACGGGCGACAUCGGGCUCUGCGGCCGGGAUCUGGCGGUGCGAUGAUGGGCGCGGGAGGCGAGGCGCUGCAGAAAGGUUGCAGAGGGGCUUCCGCCGCCAUUGGGGAAGGGGCGCGAGGAUCCAUUCGGUCGCGAGCCAGAGACAAAACUGAGCGGCGGGCAUCGGAGAAGAUGAGCCACGCGGCGGGGAGACUCUGAAGCGGGCAUGCAACUCAAGUGCGCCGGUCGCGGAAGAUCUGGGGGAAAAAGAUCUCGCGGGUCCACCGAGCGGAUAGAACAGACGUUUGAGGAAGACUUAGAAGGAUCCGACGGUGAGCUGAGUUCGCCGGGGUCGGGAUCGGAGCGAAGUGGGGAGGGGUCGGGUCUCAGGGGUCGGGAUCGGGCGGAAGGCUGAGCACACAGGCGCGGCAAAACAAGACAGAAGAAAAGAUCCAGGGCUAGGAUUAAGGUUAACCCGGAAGAUUAGGGUCCGGUCGUCACAACAACACUACAGUAGCAACACUAGGAAAAAAAUUUAAUCGGCUAUGCAAGAAGCGGUAAAUUAAGCAAAAAUAUAAGUGAGCCAAAAGCUCUAAUUCCAAGCUGGAUAACUGGUGAUAAAACUAGAACAACAGGUAAAACCUAGAAUUCUAGUGAAUAUCGAUAACUGAUGAAUAAAUCUAAACGAAAUGACAGCGAUGCGCCCGAAGUUAAAGCUUAGAUAUUACUCGAUAAACGGAACUUACAAAAUCGGCCAGAGAUCAAGUGAUGCAGCCCCGCCAACCCGUACGAACUCGUGAAAAGAAGAAAAGUACUGACGAAGUCGUCAACUCGAAAGUAAAGUGCGAGGAAAUAGUAGAUUGUUGUAUUGAUUUGAUGAUGAUUACAGAUCUCUAAAGAUGGCUAUUUAUAGCCUGUUACAACCAAUCUCUUAACCGACUAGGACUCUAUCUCUAAGUUUAAACGAAAACGAAUAUUUACAAGUAUGACUCGUAUCAGAGUUGAUUGCUGUGUUUCUGUGGGCUGACCCCUUUUAUCCUCGUAAUCCACUCUGAGCCCAUAUUGGCCCAACUAUUCCAGCCUCUCGAUCGGCCGAUUUACAUCAACUCCAUUCGCCGAAACACUGCAGCACCAAUCGGCCGAUCUCCAACUGUUGCACCAAUCGGCCGAUUCCCAAUCGUGACCUCCGUACCUCGCCGCAUCAGCUGAUUCUUUCCUUUCUUGGCGCCGAUUCCAUAUGUGUCAAAAUCUGGCGUCAACAACCUUUUUGGCGAAACACAUCUGCUGCGCCUCCCACGCCCUCACCUGUUGCAACUCGCGGACCUAGCAGUCCGGCUUGCGACGCUUCCUCCCUGCACGUGUGGAUACCUUGGAGGUGUUGCGCCUGCAGCACUUGGACGAGCCACGACGAGCCGCAGCACGAGGGCGAUCUUGCUGCACGUGGACGAGCUGCUGAGGAGCUGCUGGACGUCGACGUGAUCGACUACGUACGACUACGCUGAUCGACUUCGCUGCAUCGACGCGAAUCUACAUCUUCCGCAUCAGUGCGUCGAGUGGUAAUCCCGUGAUCCUUAUACGGCAGUUUUCCUGGUUUACGCGGUAGAAAUUUUUGAUUUGCUCUAGUGUAGCCUGCCUCGUAUCCCAACAACCCGCCCCUGCGCCCCUCCGCUCUUCCCGCACCAAUGCGCGCCCGCAGCAAGUCAGAGAAGGAAGAGGGAAGAGAAAGAGGAAAGGAGGGAAGGAAAAAAAGAGAGAGAGGAGUGGAGGAGGAGGGAAGAAAAAAAUGAAAGCAAGGAGGAGGAGGUGGAAGAGGGAAGGAAUUUCUUCCAUCUUUCUCAGGUAAAUUUUUUUUUAAUCUCGUAGUUUAGUAUAGUAUACUAUAGUAUAGUUUAGUUUAGUUUAGAUCUAAAUUUAGAAAUAUUAGUAGAUCUGAGAUUUAGAAAUAUUAGUAGAUCUGAGAUUUAGAAAUAUUAGUAGAUCUAGACUUAGAAGUAAUAGUGGACGUAGAUUUAGACUUAGAAACUUUUAGAUGUUUUUAGAUAGGAAAAAGUGGCUUAGUUAGUAUAACUUAUUUAGCAUAUACAGUAAAAUAGAGUCAACAUUAUUAGAUUUAGUUGUUAUGGUAAAUGGCUAGAAUAAAUGAGUUAUUAAAUUCUGAUUUUUUGGUUAGGUAUUCGAAUAGAGUUUUUGAUAACAAUAUUAGAUUUGUUUGUUCUGGUAACUGCGAUAAAUGUAGUGAGUAAAUUAUAACUUUUUGGUUAGGUAUUACAAUAUAGUUUUUCGGUAACAUUAUUAGAUUUAUUUGCUGUGGUGCAUGUCUAUGAUAAAGUUAGUUAGUAAGCUCAGUUUAGUGUUACAUAGUUAUUUGUUUAUUCAAUUGAGGUCGUUAUUGUAGUUAACUUAUGUAUAGUGCUGAGAAUAAUUUGGACUACCCAUUUCAUGUAUGUUGCCAGGCAUGUCGGAUAGUGUCAAUAUUCAAGUGUACUAUGAGCCGGGGGAGGUUAGAUAUGGUCUGGAAGGGGUAGAUUUGAGUGGAUUCCUCUAUUUCACCAAGUGUGUUCCAAGAGCAAGAGAGAGAACUUGGGGGGGCAUAUGCAAGUGGCUCUGUAGGGACUUAGGUGUUGACAGAGAUGAAGCGGAUGUGUCGGUGAGGGUUGUAGUGCAAAGACGGCCGGACAUAAACGAAGCUACUUGGGAAAAAGCGGAAGACCUAGAGUCUAAAUAUCCGGAGUUGUUUGAAACCAUCAGGGACAGAUGAACAAGGACCACCACCCCACUAUCCUUGUACAGAAAAAGAAAGGAUAAAUGACCUGACGCAGUUUCCUUUCCAUUCAAAAAACCAAGGAUUUAACCCCAGGAAUCUCGGGACGAGAUUCUGUUAAGGGGGAGAGGCUGUAAUAAAUGCCAUUCAUAAUAAUAUAGUAACCAUGAAAAAUUCAGAAGAAAAUUCAAAAGAAAAAGAAGGAAAAAUAGCAAAAGGGUCAAAUUCGGCCAAAUUUUGACCGAAUUUUGAAUUUCAAAUUUGAAAUUCAGAAAAAUUUGUCAAAUGUGUGGAAUACAAGUAUAAGAGUGUUUAGGACUAAAGGAUCAAAAAUUUGGAGUUAAGCUAGUGCUAAAUCUCUCAGAAGAAUCAGAGAAAGAAAAAGAAAAGAAAACUGCCGUUUACUGUUCAUCGUCCGAAAAUAGAGUUCCAGGAAAACAGCUUUAGAGUCUGUUUUGGAAAUUGAAUUCUGGAAAAAUUUGCAAAUAAGUGCAUCAAGACAACUACACUAUAUUAAAGUGUGAACCUUGGACUACAAGAUCUGGGUGUUGUUGGCCAGGAUCAAUAACCAGAAGGAAGUCAAAUUCAAGCUCAAAGUCAGCACAAACUCACAAGUAACUGAAAACUCUGAAUUUUUCUAAGUCUGGACAGCAGCAAGGCAAUAACUUGGAGCUUGAAUUCAGAACCAUUUCAAUCAAAAAGGGUACUCGUUCUUGAGCAAAAUGGAACAAUGGGACAAUGUAGAGUAUGUUUGAGGUGAAGUUGGACUAAGGGCAGAAGAAUUUGAUCAUGAAAUCAAGUCAUUAAGGGAGCUCCAUGGUACUGACGACGACUGACGAAACUGAAUGAAGGAUUCAGUGCAAUUCAGAAGAACUCGAGAAAACAAUCCAAAUUCCAUCAAAUUCAAUGUUUAUCUCGAACCGACGCCAAAAUAAAAGAUGACCAGCUCGAGUUUAUCUCCAAGUUCUGUUUAAACGUGGGAGGCCGUCGGAUUGCGAAUCGACCACCAAUGGCUUCUGAAGAUCGCGGGCGCCAGAAGACGGUGACUGAGCACCAGGACGUGUCGUCGCCGCCGCUUCCGAUAGCUCGCCAGCAUGACUAGCUAGGCCACCUCCUCACCACGCAAGCCUAGCAGUAGACCACGGUGGCAGCCAUGCGCGCGGUGAAAUCCUUGAAUGUUUACUGUUCCCGCGCCGCCGUUUCACCGUUUCCCCUUUUUACCGCCGCCCGCUCUCCUCUGAUCAGUAUAGCCGCCAAGCAAAAUUAUAUCUCCUCCCAGCAGCUCUCGUCGAUUCCUUCCACCCACUCCUCCACAGACACCCCAGACACACUCCGAGCUAGUUGUUGUCCCACAUCCUCGCCGGAAUAGUCGUGCCCGCCACUGUUUCUGUCCGCCGCCGUCGCGCCGCCCGCUCACGGUGAGAACCACCUUGCACUACCUUUCUUCUUCCUUGAGCAGUCGUGGUCGAGUCCUUAAGGUUCCAGGAUGGGGUAGAAGUAGUCGUUUGAGUCGGUUAAGCAGUGGUCACGGGUAACGAUGGCCCUACAGUUCAAUGUGGGGGGAAAUAUUCUUUGGGAGUACAGAGAGAAGGAGGUAUGCGUGGGGGCUGUGUACCAAAGUGGAGAUGAAGUGAAGGUGGCUAUUAAGAGGUGGUCCACUUUGUGUUUGCAGCGUCAGUUCAGGGUGGAAAAGAGUAGCCCGAACGUGUAUGAUGUCCGUUGUGUGCGAAAUGAUUGCCCAUUCAGGGUGCAUGCAUAAAAGGGCAAAUGGAAGGAUUACUGGGAGGUGACUAAAGUGGUUGAGCACCAAUGCUUGCUGGCUGAAUUGGAAGGAACACACCGCAACCUCACUGCUGAAUUUGUUGUUCAAUACAUGUACCCUCAGAUAGUGGAGAAUCCAAGCUUCGAGCCCAAGUCCAUUAUCUGUGCCAUAGAGGAGAAGUUCAAGUACAAGAUCAGCUACAACAAAGCUUACCGUGCUAAGCAAAAAGUACUUGAGAUGAAGUGGGGUACGUUCGAAGCAUCCUACGACAAUCUCCCUGCCUUGUUGCACACCAUUUGCCAGAGAAAUCCUGGAAGCUUCUAUGACUUGAAAUCAUAUCCAGUUCUUCAGUUUCCAGGCAAACAGGUCCUUCAGCGGUCAUUCCUUGCGUUGGGUCCUUGCAUUCAGGCUAUUCGGCUUCGUCGACAAGUCAUUUUCAUUGAUGGCACAUUUCUGACUGGAAGGUACAAAGGGACAAUAUUAACAGCUAUCGGGACCGAUGGAAACAAUCAGGUGUUGCUGCUUGCGAUCGCUUUUGUGGAGAAGGAGUCUGGAGAUAGCUAGUACUGGUUCCUCAAGAGGGUGAAGAACAUGAUAGUGUUGGACGUCGAGAGGGUCUGUCUCAUUCAUGAUCGGCACAAAGGCAUUAUACAAGCAAUCGACGACCUACAGAAUGGAAGUCAAGAGCGUUUCAGGGCGCCGAUAUGGCCGGACUUGAAGAGUAGGUGGUGCAUGAGGCAUAUGGGUGCGAACUUUCACAGCCAAUUCAAGAACAAGACCCUUACAAAAUUGUUCAAGCGACUGUGCAGCCAAAAUCAGGAGAGGAAGUUCAACCUGCUGUGGAAGAAACUUGAGGACCUCACAAAGAAGCGAUGCGAGGAACUAGCGAAGAGGGCGGUCAAUAGUGAGGCCGACCAACCUGUGUCUCUGGAGGAUGUCGGGCUCGACGGUCCAAACAUCAGGCGAAGACGGGGAACAUCCAUCAAGACCUUCUCACAGUGGAUUGAGAAUGAACCGAAGGAAAAGUGGGCAUUACUCUUUGAUGAAGGAGGUGCACGGUGGGGUAUAAUGACGAUGAACCUAGCUGAGGUUUACAACUAGGUCUUGCGCGGUGUUCGGGGCCUGCCCCUUGUUGGUAUUGUCGAAUUUUACCUUUACCGCACCAUGAAGUAUUUCAGGGAAAAGCUACCAAUUGGCUGAUAACUCAAUGCGCGACAACCACAUAAUAUUUGGGUACAAGAUGACAGAGUACAUGGAGGAAGCAAUUAAGAAAGCUCAUUUGUACUGUGUGAAAGAAGUGAGAGCCGUGGAACGCCGGUUCGAAGUUGUUUGUAGGGACAAAGUUCAAAUGGGCGGGAGGCGUGAGAGACACACACAUGAGUGCAUCAUAAGCAAUGAAGGUUGUGUUUGCUCUUGCCACAAGCCAAGGUUGCUGCACAGGCCUUGCACCCAUAUCAUUGCUGCAUGCUUCGAGGUGGGGGGCCUCCAACCCCGUCGUUUCGUGCCGCACUAUUUCCUCAAAGAAACCAUAUGGCAAACUUGGAGGAACGAGGUUUAUGGAUAUCGUUUGCUGGGAGACUUUGUCAAUAAUCCAGGUAAUGCCGCCCACUACAUUCCUGAUCCUGAUCCAGAAAUGGUCCAAGGAGUGGGGCGACGUGGGAAUAGGUGUAUCCGUAAUGACAUGGAUCAAUCUGAAGCUGGUCCUGAUGUCCGUCUAUGCUCCAAGUGCCACGAAGCCGGUCACACCUACAAGAACUACCCGGCAACGACGUAUGCAAGUGCUAGCACCCAAUCAGCAUCUAAUAAAUACUAAUGUAAUGCAUCUAACGUCCUUAGGUAGUGUAAUAUAAUGUUUAUUUGAUGGUGUGGAAAAGGACAUCAAGUAUUGUAAUAUUUAUCGUGGGCCCUUCUAUUUGUAUGGACUUGUAUGUGCCAUAGAGUUAUGAUGUUUAUUUGCAAUGUAACGUAAUGCAAUGUUAUAUUUUCUUUACGUGUUCAGUGCUUAUUUCUUUCAAUACUUGUGUUGCAGGUAUGGCAUUGCACACAGGUCCACAGGGGACCAGACCCCUGAGUUGCUCGACCCUACCUUGGACGGCCAGCACAGGUCGUUCCACUCGGCCAUAGUUGGUACUAACCUAGGCACGUUUCGGGCUCGUAUUCCGCUUGCGACCAUGCCGAUCGACCGAUGUUGGAUCCCGAGGUAGAAAUAAUUAGUAAUACUUGUGUGUUAAGUUGAAUGAUUAAUUUGUGUAAACUAAUUCAUUUAUUCCGUGGUACAGGUUGCGUGCGGCGGGCCUUCUUCCUGUGGCUAGGCUUGUGGAGGGCGACAUGGUCGACCGUUCAGCGCGACGUGGCCGCAAGAGACCCACAUGGUUGCAGUUCGACAUGUCACUGCUAGCAGCUUUGCUAGACCGGUGGCGGCCGGAGACACGCACCUUCCACCUCCCGGUCGGUGAGUUGACCCCCACACUAGAGGACGUCUCGAUGCUACUGGGUCUUCCUUGUGCAGGGGCCGCCAUAGCCGCGAUGGACGUCCUCCCGCCAGGCGUGACGAGCUGCUGGGUCGCUUCGCAGACGUUCCUCGCGUAGACGGUGCCCCCCAGUACACCACUUUCAGCAGCUCCCACAGCACGACGAAGUCUUGGCUUCAGUAGUUCAGUGUGAGUUUCUAAUUACCAGCAACUACAAAUAUUUUUUGACCAUUUUUUUAAUUAUUGACACAAGUACGAAAUUGUUUUGCAGGCUGAGUACAUGAGAGAGGACGCAGACAACGCCACAGUAGCGCGUCACUUGGAGGCGUACCUGCUGUGGCUCUUCGGCUGGACCCUCUUCUGCAUGUCGUAGGGGAACUCGGUGCCUAAGCACCUUCUUCCUUACGCGAGGGCCAUUGCGGAGGCCCCGCUCAACGAGGUUCCACAGUACAACUGGGGUUCAGCUGUGCUGGCGGCCACGUACAGGGGUCUUUGCACGGGCUACGUGAAGGUUACUUCGACGGAGCCUAUCUUCCUUGGCUGCCCGCUGCUGCUUCAGCUUUGGGCCUACGAGCGGUUCCCGAUAGGGCGACCUCGUGUGGACAUGUCCCCCUACCCUGGGGGUUUUGACAAGGACGACGUCAACAGACCCACGAUGGGGUUGUUGUGGUGCCUGAGGAGGGUAUGGUUCUUCCACUACUAUUUUUCGAUUCAUAUUACACUUUUGAAUUUCCGCGGUCCUAACUGAGAAAUUGUGAUUACAUUUCUUGCAGGCAGUUUGGACGGGGAUGCAGACAAAGAAGUCUUACCCGGACUUUGUCGGUAUGUUCGACGCUCUGGUUGACACUGACGUGAGGUGGAGAUCCUACAGCUUCGAGGAGGUGGAGGCUCGUGCCCCGCAUGGCCUGUCUUCGCUAUGCCAUCGGGACAUGGUGUACUGGAUGACGAGGAGGCCAGUAGUCUUCGACAUCCACAUCGAGGACUACACGGUUCACCGUGUCAUGAGGCAGUUCGGCCUGUACCAGGACUCCCCGCUUCUAGCAACAUCAGUGGUUCCGGCUUCCGUUCACAGGUACAGUCCAGCAUUUUCAUUCUUCUUGCAUUAAGAAUAUUUCGUUUAUGUAACUCGUGUAACGAUGGUUCCACUAGGGCUAGCCAUCAGGGUGGUGGUGGUGGUGGGCCUGGAGUCCUAUGGGCUACGAGGAUGGUUCACUGGGUCGCCCUGUGGGCGACCGCACUAGACGAGGUGGUCCAGGAGACCCGGCCACAUGACGUAGACGCUUUCGCAGCGUACCUUCGCUGGUUCUUAUCGAGGACCAGGACGCUGGUCCAGCACGUUCCGACAGAGCCACCGACGGAGACCGCUCGAGUCACCCAGACGUACCCUCGCGCGAGAGACGUCAACUACGACCAUGCGGUAAGCUACUUGAAUUUUUUUUGUUACUAAACUUGCAUCAUUUGGUGUGACUAACUUGAAAUUUUUUCGCUCCCCAACAGAUCGACCUUAUAGGGGAUUUGGACAGGCAGCUGACGUACAGCAUCGAUAACUUCCCCAUGAUGAAUUUGGUUCAGCAACGAUCGCUGCUUACGAGGGCUAGAGACGGCUGCAGGAGGUUCCUCAGUGCCGUUACCUGCCGUGGUGGGCACGGGGACGUCGUCCGUCCACCACGACCUCCGUACCCCCAUGCGUCCACUCCAGCUCCUACUCGGUAGGCUGGUACAUCCUCUCACCAGCCCAUUCGUCCGCCAGUAGCCAGCACCUCCUACGUCAUACCACCACCACCGCCGCCACCGUCUUGGCAUGCCACAGCAGGUCCGUCCACCGUUCCGCAGAUACAAUACGCAUGGUCCUCUUGUCCUUCUUCAGCUGCACUGGAGCUACGACCAGCACGUGCGUGAUGUAUACAUAUUGUAACUCCAUUUUAAGAACGCAACGAAACUAACAAAAUCGUUUCCUUUAUGAUUGUAACAGGCUACGUAGACUAGGGAUGGCAUUCGGAGGACUCGCACGACGAGGCAGCGAGGUCCAGCGGCAAUGCUUGGAUCGAUGACCUUUUCAGAGUGGACCCCAAUCUGCUCGGUCCCUCCAAGUUGGCAGAUGCCCUGGGUCCUACACAGGGUGCAACCUAGUUCCUCGAGACAAAACGGGUCCUACACAGGACGCGUCAUCCUAGUACCUCGCAACACCUCCUGUGGAGGGAGCGGGAGGACAUCCGACUCGCGACGUUCACCCGCCGGAGCCCUGGACGUACGACCGGCAGCAGACCAGAGCAGCACGGCGGGCAGCGAGGCGUGGUCAUAGUGCUGGCGAGCUUCGUUUCAAGCGAGGACACAUUUAGUGCGUAGGGUGACUUCUUAUUUUUUAUCAUUUGUACGAUUACGAUGUGUACGAUUAUCUUUAUGUGCGAGGACUGCUCUAUCUACAUAAUAAGUUAAAUGCUUUUCAUUGUUCGCGUGCGUUUACUAUACAAGUCUAAACAUUUCCCAAUUAAGAAUUAGAAGCACACAAUUAAAAUAAUCAAUAACUAUGAAUGAAAAUUGUGCGGCAAUUAACGGGGUGCACGCUCAAGCUUCCUCUCCCUCUCCUCCCUUUCCACAGCAAGAUGCCUCCUUUCCUCCAAUUCCUUGUGUUCUUUCUCUGCAGCCUCCUCUCUGAGCCUCUUCUCCAUCCUCUCCUUGCUCUCUGCCGCCCACUGCAACAUGUACUGCAUGUGCUCCUUGUCCUCAGGCUUGAUCUCAGUGUCAAUCCACUGCUCAAAAUCAUAGAGCGGUGGAGGAGUCUGCAAAAAAUGUAUUUAUUACAAAACAAAAAAAGCAUGCAAGAUGUCAUAUGGCACAAAAUAAUUAUUGCACGACAUCAAUUCCUCACCAUCUUGUUAAUGCGGUGCUGACAAAGUAUAGGCUCAAACGCAAAGUUGGAACACAUCCAAUACCUCUGCCUAUACGUGUCCUUUUCAUCGGACUUGGCUACCUUGCAAGGAUCGCCGCAAAAGCACAUGGGCACUGGAACACCACUAGGCAGAGGCAAACGGUCGAAGGCAUUUCCGGUCAACGGAACACCACUCCACCUUUACCAUUUUCGUUGUAAGAACUGGAAGCAACUAAGAUUAAAUCAUACGACUACUAGUUAAUGUACGGUUGAAUAACGUGAACUGAGAUUGCCUUGCUUUACCAGCUUUUCCACGCCUUGGCAUCCUACGAUUGUAUAAUAAAAAUAUUAAAAAUUCAUGAAAUUAUACUUAGUAAAUACUUCUAGAUGUAAAUACUAAACUAUAAACUGAAAACCGAAUGUACUAUACUAACUAAGCUACAUUUUUAACAUCUAAAAGCACACAACAUAUCUGUAGAUCUAAAUACUAAACUACAAAAUAAAUACCGAAUCUACUAUACAUACUAAGCUAGAUUUUUAGCAUCUAAAAGCACAAUGUAUUUUUAGAUUUACUAUACUACGAUAUUGAAAAACUUACCUGAAUCCUAGGAGAUUUCUUCCCCUUGUUUUCUCUCUUUCUUUCCUCCUUCCCUUCCUUCUAUCCCUCUCUGGUUCUCCUCUCAAAAACAACAGGAGAGCUGGGUGGCCUAGAGGCUUGGCUACGAGGGGGGGGGGACCCCUGCUGGGCCAGGCGGCGGUAAGCUAGGAGGCGGUAAGGGUCCUUACCGCCAGCCCAGGCGGCGGUAAGGACCCUUACCGCUCGCGCGCUGGCCGUACCGUGGUGGAGCAGGGGGACCGGGUCCUUACCGCCGGCCCAGGCGGCGGAAGAGACUUAACGCCGGCUGGGCCGGUGGUAAUGACAUGGGCCGGCGGGGUCGGCGCCUUACCGCCGGCUGAGGUGGCGGUAAGGCCCUUCCGCCGCCUGGGCCGGCGGCAAUAGCCCAAAUCUAUGAUUUUUCCAUCCGACUAUAUAUUUCUGCAAAAUCGAAAGAAAUAAUAUACAAAUAAAAAAAAUUCGCAACUGGGCAACUGCAACGACACUAGACGGCCCAUGGACGCAGUAAAAUGCAGAAAGGUCAUUCUGCGUUGGAGAGCACGGUAAAAAUUGAUGAUGGAUCCAGAAAAGAACAAGCAUCGCAUGUCGGUACGUCAAAGUAGCAAAGUUGCUAUCGUUGCUCCUUUUUCUUCCGACCUAAGAUUAGGUAUAUUCAAAACUAAGAAAAUUUUCACAGAAUAUAGAAAACCUGUGCCACUAGCAAUUCAUUAGAUUUUCUUAAAAAAAGAGCCAUACAACAACUUGUCAGGUAGGUGCAAAUUGGUCCAACAAAAUCUAGUACAAUAACUUAUCAGAUGGGUGCAGAUUGGUCCAACAACUUGUAAAAUGCUCAAUUUAGUGCAAUAACUUGACAAAUUGGUGCAUCUACAGUCCAAACGUUACAAUGAGAACGUAAUAAGCAAAGUAGAUGGGCAUGUAAAUUUUAUUCCAAUCAAUAAUUCUUAUUUUUUUGUCAAUAAAAGUCGUUGAUCGUAACCUGUCUGUUGCUACUCAAUUGUGUACGUAACUUAUCUGUUCAUUAGUUAAAAUUCAAUAAAAUUUUAGAAUUCCGCCAUUGGUAUUACUGAAAUACUAAAGUCCACAAGAGAGAUCAUGGGAUCUUAGUGUGACGACCGGCCCCAAAUCUUCCCAGUUAAUCUUAAUCCGAGCCCCUGAUCACCUGUCUAGUUUUCCGAGCCUAAGUGCUUAGCCUUCCGCCCGGUCCCGACCCCUGAGACCCGACCCCUCCCCGCUCGCUUCGGUCCCGACCCCGCCAAACCAGCCCACCGUCGGAUCCUUCUAAGUCUUCCUCAAACGUCCGUUCUAUCCACCCGGUGGACCCUUGAGAUCUUUUUCCCCCAGAUCUUCCACGACCGGCGCACUCGAGUUGCAUGCCCGCUUCAGAGUCGCCCCGCCGCGUGGCUCAUCUUCUCCGACGCCCGCCGCUCAGUUUUGUCUCUGGCUCGCGACCGAAUGGGUUCUUGCGCCCCCUUCCCCAAUGGCGACGGAAGCCCCUCUGCAACCUUUCUGCAGCACCUCGCCUCCCGCGCCCAUCAUCACACCGCCAGAUCCCGGCCGCAGAGCCCGAUGUUGCCCGUCUUUUCCGUCACUUCGAUCUCAGUCGCGCCGCCUGGUCUCCGCUACACGACGAUUCCUCUAUCGCUAACCCUGGCCACGGCAGCGCAGCUCCUUUUCCCGCCCCGUCAGAAGCCGCCCCGACAGAGUGUUGCUUCGCACUCGCCCGCGCGGUAGCAGCCUGCCUGUCUUCUCACCUGUGCGCUCUCGAUUCUAGCGCCGUUAAACCGGUCGCUUCUAUCAAAUCUUCCGCACGACGACGCCCGCCUCCGCCAAAUCUCAACCACCGGCAUACCCGCUCCUGCGCCGCCCUGACGCCAGAGCCCAAUGACCGCUGGCGUCAUCCCCGAAGUCCUGCACCACCGCCCUCGUCACUCAAUCGCCGCCCAGGCAGAGCACUCCAUUGUUCUUCCCCGGCCUUCGCGCCGCUCCCCUUCUCUCUCCCGCGCCACUUCCCUUCCCCAUUCCAGCAGCUAUAUAAAGGAAUGCGCAAGCCCGCCGGAGUUUCCCUUCGCCAUUGUUGCCUUCAGCCAUUCUCUUGCUCCCUGCUCAAGCUCCUAGCACUGCCGCUAAGCUCUUGAGGAACUCUCCCCUCGGCUUCCCUCAGUUUUCCCCAAACGACCCAGCCGUUUGCUCCUCAGUGCUGCGUAAGAGCUCACUUGUGACCCGCAAGAAGCAUCGCCGCCGCCGGAGCACUGCCAGUCUUAGUCGUUGUCCAAAGCUUAAGUCCCUCUGCCCAAGCCUGCCUCUUCCCGACCCCAAGCCUUCCUUUCAGGAAGAAGGUAAGCUGCCGACCCCAGUCCGCUUCGCCCGACCCCUCUUAUCCGCCCGACCCCGGUUCCGUCUCGCCCGACCCUAUCUGCCCCGCCGACCCUUAUCCGCCUCGCCCGAGGGCUCGGCUGUGAUCUUUUUCUUCAACCCGACGGUGUAUGUGUAAAACUUGGGAACCCUUCAGCGCUUGCGUCGGAGGAUCCCUAGUAUGCCACAUCCUCUAGUUCCAGGAUCAGAUCAUAAGUUCCUUUCCGACCUUUGCCUUUUGAUCUUCACCAGCUCUCUUGAACCUCCCCACCCUCCUGCUCUUUGUCGCAAGUUUCUGGGCUCAGGCGAGCCAAUGUUGCUGUUGAAAUAACCGUCUAUGCUAACUCUUGCAUUGCAUUCGUGUAGAGCUGCGCCUCGCCGACGGCUUCUACGAGCUGCACCCGGCGCCAGAAGAAGACGGUGUAGCCGAGCUCCUGCCCUCCGAAGCCGAAGCCGUCCCAGAAGUCGAGCAAUUCUCUUCCUCUUUGCUCGAAGGCAAGCCCCGGUUGCAUGAAAACCCUGUGUUGUUUACCAAACUUGCGCAUGCCUUCCUUAAAAAUGCUUGUGCAUUUACGUAUAGGAGUUGGUUGGAACCCUAGAUGCACGAGUUAGCUCCCAUGAUCUGAACACUAGCUGUUGGACCGAGUAGAUGCUUUGCUUAAAUAGGAACACGGUAAAAGUCGAGUGAUUUCCUGUCACUCGCGAGUUAUAGGAGUUGGAUGUCUACCCUUUCGGUUACACAUAUAAGGACGAUGGACGGGGCAGGGUUUUGGUAACUCUUUGGUGGACGGAUGGUUGCCCCGUCUGUCUAUGAAACUCGCUAAGGCCCGACAGUGGUGGUGUUCGUGAUCAAGUGUUUGAAGGUACUAAUCUCAUACCUAGUAUGGGCUGGGGAAGCCUAGUACCUGAUUGAACUAGGGCGUGGCUUAUACCCCUGCUGUCCCUGGAACGAGGUUCCCAUGGUGCAUCAUGUGGGUGCAAGUGCGGUCACAGUACGGUAGAGGCCGGGACUGUGGAGCAUUGCAUGCCAAGGGAAGUUUGGACCUGACACGCGCCUGGGAAUUGAUGGGGACGGCCGACACAGGAAGCGACCCUUGUGGCGCGCGGAUGUCGUGAGAUUAGGUUCGCCAUGCAUGGUUAAGCAACUCGAAUCGAUUCGUCUGCCUCUCACAGUUUGAGACUGCUUGAUCGCUAUGUCACCCUGAGUAAAUAAGGAAUCUGAUGAUGACAUGGUUUUGUUGAUGAUAUAUAUAUACCUUUGGUUGAUUCUAUGAUUGCUUAGAAUAGGUUGCAAACCUAGACCGGUUAAUGAACGUAGAACCGGAGCUAAAACUUGAAAGUAGGUUUUACUUAGUGCUUUUGGCAAACAAACCCCUUAGCCAAAAAGCCCUGCAUGUCUAGAAGGAGGAGUAGUUUUACUCCUAUCGGAUAAGUCUUGUUGAGCUUAGUAGCUCAGCCUUGUUGUGGCUCCUGUUUUUCAGGUGAAGUUGCUGCUCCCGACCCCUCUCUUGUUGGCGCUUGGCCGCCCCAGCUCCCGCCGGGCUGGACGGUCGAGUGGGAUCCCUCCUCGGACGGCGAGGAGAGGGACCAGUGAUGUCCCGGCUGGCCUCACCAGGACAUCCGACCCCGACGAUUGCUUCCGCUAGUGUUUUACCUUCUGUUGUUUUCCGAAAUCUUGUAAAACUCGGAUGUUCUUUUCGAACUAAUUAAUUUAGUCGUUAAAUUGUUAACUGGGUGGACUUGUUGUACUCUCUGGAACCGCUCACUUUCGUGUGAGUUUGCUAAAUCAGUCCUGUUCAAAGUGGUUAAAUCGGAGGAAAAUCCGACGGCCCUUCGUGUUUACUCGGCUUAGGCAUGAGCGUCGCAUAUCAGGCGACUAAAGCAUGUCUCACCCAGUAGAUCCGAAGGGGAUCCGCCACAUUUAGGUUUCUUUGGUGCCUAGGUUUCUUCGGUGUUUCUGCUCCUGUAUUUAACAAACGUAGAGAAGCUUGUAUGUUUUGAAUUUUGCUCAAUUUUACUUUCUAAACAAGUACAUUUGGCUUUAAAAAAUAUUUACACCAAAUUUUUAAAAGAUAUUGUUAGUAUGCAUUAAUAUAUUGGUUUUUUUAGCCGGAUAAAAAUGCAUAUAAUCAAAAUGUAAAACAUUGAGGGUGAACUUAUCAAUAUUGAUACGAAAUUAAAUAUUUCUAAUCAAAAUUUAAUUAUUAUAUAAAAAAUAAUUAAUACGAAGACAUACCAUUAAUUUCGUAAACAGUGAAGGUUACUCAUGCGACACAUAUCAAUGGUAAAAAUGCUCAAUAACUUUAUUCUGACGUGAAUAUCCUCUGACCCGUCAUUAGCAAAUAUGUUACUUGUUACAAUAUUUGGACUAUGGAUGCACCGAUUUACCAAUGUAAUGCACUAAUCUAAGCAUUUUACAUGUUCUUGACCAAUCUGCACCUCUUUUACAAGUUGUUGGACCAAUCUGCACCCAUCUGACAAGUUAUUGUAUUAGAUUGAGCCUUUUACACGUUGUUGUACCACUCUGCACCCACCUAACAAGUUGUUGUAUGGUGAAUGCAAUUUAGUGUUGUGGUUGAAUAUCCGCACAAAGAAAAAAAGCUCGAUAAUGUAAUAGAAAUGUUCCACUAGUGAAUAAACUUUUAUUGAAAAAAGAUAUCAAAAAAAAUUCCGAACCAAAGAGGAAAUUUGUUCUAAGAACGUAUCAUAAUAGUUCUAAGAUUUUAGGUCAUAACCUUUGCAUACUAGCGAGCAGUUCAGGUGCUGAACUGCUGUCUUGGAUACUGAUUGGAAAUGAAGAUUUCAUUGUGUAAGGAAUCUUAGUAUUGAUAGGCGCUACUCCCUUGGUAUCAAAAUAUUUAUCGUUAUUGUUUUUUUCUUGCAACCUUUAACAUUCGUCUUAUUCAAAAAAUUAUUAUAAAUGUACGAAAAUAUAAGUCGUGCUUAUAACACCUAUAAAAGUAAAGUAAGCCACAAACAAAAUAGACUAUCCUUACAUAAUUUUGAAUAAAAUGAAUAGUCAAACGUCAUGACCAAAAGUCAACAACCUAUUUCGCCACUGGGCUCAAUUGUGUAUCAUUGAGUUUUUAUCAAUACACGAAGAUGUUUAUGCCCAGCUUAUGAGCUGUCCCUCAGCAGAGGAUUUUAUUGAAUACCUGUUGAAUUCUUUUGGUGCAGUUGUUCUUGUUUCAGGUCCACGGACUCUUGUGUGCACUAGCACUUUCUUUUAUUUUCGUUUUCUUUCUAAUGAAAACUAAAAAAAGGGCCAGCUCCUUGUGUGCUUACACUUUUUUUUUAAGACCGGAAGCAAGCCAUCUCGCGUCUUUAACGAAAGGAAAGAAAAAUACUACAGGAAUUUAAGUGGACAAAGAUAUGAAAUGAAUCAUAUGAAAUCUUGCUGCCCGCUUCCACAUCUGAUUUAUGUCGUAAGCAGUUUUUGAACGUGCAGGUGUUGAAACUCAUGUCUAUUUCUCUUAAUAUUAAAGUAAAAAGACUUGUAGCUUUACCAAAAGUUCCUAGAAGGAAAAUAAAUAAAUUUCAGUGAGUGCUUAGCCAAAUUUUUUUGUUAAAAAAAGAUUUCCUUUUUUCUUUGUGCAAGCUAGCAGCCAUUGUCCCUCCGAUGGACUACUGCUUGCACGAAUCUUGACGAGGCAACUGAACAAGCAAAGUCGUGCUCGAGGGCAGGUUCAUUAAUCAGUACUGUUGACGCGACUUUUACAAAAGGGUUCUGAUCCCGUAUAUUCUGUCAGUGGCACUUCCGAUCUUGUACAAGGGAAAUACAGUGUGGGGUGUGACGACGAAUUUAGUAUUGUACUCAGCAGCAGAAAAAAUGGUGGAGGGAGUAAACUGCUACUGGUCUUCGUUACAAAAGUACCAACUCUCAUUUACCUGAAAUGCACAAAGGUUUAGAGUCAGCCUAGAUGAGAAAAAUUCGUUUCAAUUCAGGCAUCAAAUUGUGCUAGCAUGCUCAAGGACACUAGUUUGUACAUUUUCUUUGUAACAUAUCAACACAUUAAACAUUUGGAUACACAAUGGUGAAAUGUAGGAACUACUGAGUAGUGUUGUCAGCACAUAGGCACAUGUUACAAAGCAGACCAAACAUAACUUGCAUGUGCUGAUAGGAUAGUGUAACCUAUCCUAUCAGCAAAAAUGAUAACAGAGGCAACUCAAGUCAAAACUAGCUCGACUCCUUUUUGAAGCCUUUGUGACAGAGUCAGGAUAAAUGUCACAGGCUAAAAUGUUUACAUUAAAAUAAAAUUGCAGAUAAUGGUAAUGGUAAUGGUCAUGGUUGGUUUAGCUGAACAAUUCAAAGUUGAAAAACUAAAGCUUACCAUAAUUUUGGUAUUUCUUCGAGAAGUUAUAUAAAGCUUUCAUAAUGGCACCAUAUUUCAUUGAUUUUAGUGGUCCCAUAUGCCUGCAAAAAGAAAAUUUUAGAGAUCUCUCAGUUGUCGAAAUAAACUAUCGAUGCUACAUAAUUUCUCAAUCAGAAACCAGAAAGAUUAAUUAAUGUGUUGGUGGAAAACUUACAUAAUUUCAGUAUACCGUAAUCUCCAUGCAGGAAAGCCAAAAUGACAUCUAGCAGGACCAUACAUGAGAAGAAGAUCAGGUUCUGGUCCACCACAACCUAAGAUGAAACCAGAACUUAGAUUCUCCUUGCGUUAUGAUAAUAUAGUAAUCACUAACCAAUGAUAAAUAAGUAAUAUCAAGCAGAGCAUGCUGAAACAUGAAAAGGAAAGUUUUCCAAGCAUACCUACAGCUUUCAGCGCACUGGCCAUGUCAGCUUCUGUAAAUGUUGGCUCCGUUUUGCCAUCUCCAUGAGUAUCACCAUUUAAGUAAGUUGAGCAAAGUAAAUUGGCUGCUUUAGCAAUACCCUCCUUGCCAUCAGAACCAGAAAGACACUCUAUUGCCAAAUCCUUGUGGCUAGAGUGUGAAAUGCUUGCACUAAUACCCUACAUGUUGCCAUGAACAGUGAUACAUAUUAACAAUAAAAACAAUCAACAAGCCAACUAGCAGAGAAUAUGCACAAAGUAAGGGAAGCUUAAUAUCGUAAGUUACCAGAUAUUCUCUUACCUUCCCAUCUCUUGAACCCUCCAUAGCCGGUUCAAAUGAUUUCUUCAUGACUCCUAUGAUGCAACAUAUAAUAGUAAGAUAAUAAAUCUUAUGUGUGCUAGAUAGAGCCCACGGGUCUCGAGAAAAAAAGAGAGAGAGUACAUGCAUCUAUAACUUAAAACAUCAGAAGACAAUGCCUAAGAGCAACAGGGCAGUUAGUUUUGUUCACUCUGCCACUAUCCCAACUCUCGAGUAUUGUAACAGCCCAGUAUUGCUGCUUAAAAUCACUUAAGCAUGUUCAUUUACAAAAAAGAAAUUAUCAUAUAGGUAGAUUAGCAACCAAGGAUGAACUUCAAACUGAAAUCACAUUAUCAUAGAAAUUCAAAUGAUGAACUUAUUAGUCUUACCCUCAAUGUCGUAGAGACAUAUAUACUUCACACCCAUAGUUGAGAGCCAGCACAAUAGCUGCCUGAUCUUCACGGUAUUUUUAGCUUCUUUGCUAUCCACCACAAUAGCCAGGUACUUCAGUCGAUCCAGGUGGAGGUACCGAUACUUCCGCAACAACCCAGAUGAAAUAAUAUAGCAUUCUAGAUUAUAAAUCAGAAGAGACCAUAAAUUAAAAAGCCUGAUUGCCAAGUGGAUGAUGCCCCAGAUCAGCCCCAAAAUGAGCUUAAGACUAAUAGAUGGUCUAGACAUCUGCACACAGAGCAAUUACAACUUGUCAUGCUCUCAUUUCUGUGAUCAGGUUAUGCACUCCACGGGAUCACAGAAAUAUAUCUAAGGAAAUACAAAAAAUGGUAGUAAGGUUUAGAUUCUAACUCUCAACGCAUUCAGAUAAUUUGAUGUCAACAUGCAUUUACUGUUCUGGCUUGCAUAACAGCAGCUGAUAGAUGUACACUUGUCACAUUGCAUCAUUCAUAUUGCUUAUGCACCCUAGUGUUAGUUUAUAAUUUUCAACUCUUGAUUGCCAAACAAACACAUGAUAAUGGAGAACAUGGCUGAACCUGAAAGAAAUUAUUUUUUUAUUAAAAAUAAAUUGCUCACUCAGUACUGUUAUAGUAUUAUGUGCAUGGACUUGCAGCAAUUAAGCUCAGGUAACCACAAAAGCAUGAUUGAUCUGAACACCUAAAGUUUCAACAGAGGUUAUUGCCUUAUUGGGCAUGGCAAAGUAUGACUCAUAUAAAGAAAUUGCACAAUAAAAAUCAACGGACAAGGUUUAAGAACUAGACACUGAUCCUCCACCUGGAUCGACUGAAGUACUUGGCUACAGUUGCAGAAUCAGUUGCCGGUGCUGCUGAAUUGGAUGGCGGUGUUACUGAAUUGGCUGCAACACAUCGUCGAGUUUGAGGAUGAGAACCCACAGAUUGAGAUGCAGCAGCAGAUUGAGACCCACUUGAAGCACCAGGAGCUGACAUUGCUCACUUCCUUACAAAUGCAAAAAGGCAAACACACAUCAGUUGAGUCUCUGUACUAGUUUUGACACAGAUGAUGCAUGAAAUUCGAGAUCUAGGGAAGGGAUGUGCCGUCGUACCUCCUAGACUGCUGGAAUCGCGGCUGGGUGGAGGAGCAGGAGGCGGGGUGUCGCCGUGCCAGGGUGGAGCGGGCGGGGUGCCGGGGACCCGGGGUGGUGCGGCCGGGGUGCCAGGGACCCGGGGUGGAGCGACCGAGCGGGCGGGGUGCCAGCUAGGUGCGGCGUGCGGGGCCAGGACGGCGGCAGGGCGCGGCCUCGCGGGACGCGUGCAGGAGAGGCCGCGCGGGACGACGGCGGGGUGGGGGUGCGGGGGGUGACUGGGUUGGUGCGGAGUGCGGUCGGAUAAGGAUGCUGCCGAGUUAUAUACUAGGGUUGCUAAUGGGUCUUUAGUGGGCCCAAUGGUUUCGGGUCUCGAUGAAGCUCCAUGCAUGAUUUUAAAAGCCCACCCCAAACCCGCGCUAUUUUGGGUAACCGUGGAUAAAAAUUAGGAAUCAAAACUGAAACCCGUGGACCCGACUCGCGGAUAUCCGCCUCGACACCAAUCUGUAUUGUUGUAAAAUGUGUAGCUAUUUAAGUAUUUAUUUGUAUAUUUAGUGCUACACUAUGAGCAUCUUAACCGUCUAGUCGGUCAUCUAGAUUGUGUUGUUGAAGUAUAAAAAAAUUAUCCACCUUUUUUACAAUAACAGUAACCUUUUAGGUUGAGUCAGACGGUGCAUGCAAGCUCAAUAUUGUGUAGAAGAAGAAAUGAAGUAGAGACCAUAGAAAAAAGUUAAUGCAUAUAUGGGACACAUCAAUACAUAACCAUACAUUUUUUAUGCUAUUUAGUGAAUUGAUUUGAGGAUAGAAUGGAAGAAUAAAACAACAUUUUUUUACCUCAGGAAGGUAUGCCUUAUUUUUUUAUAAUUUCUUGAAAAAUAUAGUGCAACUAUGAAAACUUUGCAGCUAUUUAAGUAUUUAUUUGUAUAUUUACUGCUACACUAUAAGAUGUCUUAAUCGUCUAGUUGGUCAUCUAGAUUGUGUUGUUGAAGUACAAAAAAAAUUAUCCGCCUUUUUACAAUUCAAUAACCUUUUAGGUUGAGUCAGUCGGUGCAUGCAAGCUCAAUAUUGUGUAGAAGAAGAAAUGAAGUAGAGACCAUAGAAAAAGGUUAAUGCAUAUAUGGGAGACAUCAAUACAUAACAAGACAUUUUUUCUCUCACCAUCAGACUAACUGACAAAGUGAUAAUAAAUAACACAUGCAACUUAAAGAAGAUGCAGAGACUACCAAAUUAAAAAUUUUGGAUAAACAUUGGCUUCCAGGAAAGAAAAGGGGAAAAAGUCUAUAUUAACCCAUAACUAGGUGAGUGCACGUGCGGCACACACUAAAAGUAAACAAGAAUUUUAUAUUCAUAAAACAUAGAUACAUGCACCAUGGACAUAUUCAAUAACAAAAAAAAUACCCAUAUAAAAAUAGAAAAUAUACGGAAUUUAACAUUACUCGUAUACAAUGCUAAGUGUUGGACCCCAAUCACCUAGUUGGAUACCAGCAAGCUGCAAAAUUUGUGUCAUUCGUAGUGGUACUGCAGUGAGUUUUAUUCGUUAGGAAAGAACAGCCAAAUCAGAGAAAGUAACUUAUUCGCAUGUUCUUGUCAAGAAUGCUAAUGCUAGGGUUUCUAUCAUGUUUGAGAUUAAUUGGAACAUGUGAGAUUGUUAUGUCAAUAAAUAAUCAGUCAGGUGACAAUAGAAGGAAAAUUCAGAAGAUAGUACCCAAACCUUUAAUUGCAGGUGGAGAUGGAGCACAAAAUAAUCUCUUUUGAUCAAUCACAAGUAUUAGCAAUGAUAGAGGAGGGGAUCGGCUUACACCCAAACCUCAGCACAGAAGCCUUUCCACCCAUGCCCAUGUUGUGCAAAUCAUAUUUGCAUCCUGUGAAGUUGUAGGCAGGUAUGCCUCAACGUGGAGGGCCUGGCUGGCUAUGGCGCCAACCAGGGAGUGGAGGCGAGGCCGCUACCCGGUGACGAGUGGCGGUCAGGGAGCGGGGACCAGGAACGACAAAUGUGACCGCGGCCCAGCGAGACCUUAGCGCAUGCUCCAGGCGGGUGUGGCACCGCGUGGUGACGAUAGAAAAACAGAAACAGCGGAAACAUUUUAGAAAGCAUCAAUCUUUUCUGCUUUCACAUCCCUCUAACCUGCGCAGUAGGUUCAUUGCGAGGGAAAUGUUUUCAAAACUACUGGAUCUUUAUAGUAUAGAUUUUGACACGCUGAAAUUAAACUCCAAAUUGAGGGUGCUCUCUCACUCACCUUCUAACAAAGAAGCCCAUGUUCAACUCUAAUCACGAACUUCUUCUUCAAAGAAGAAACUCUAAUCAACAACCCCAUUUAAUUUCCCAGCGCUGUUGAGACGCCAUUGGAGCACGUACGAGGCACGCCGCGACCUCAUCGGCUACCCCAAAAGCCAAAGAGAGAGAAAGACCUAGAGAGAGAUGAUGAGCACAGUGGCACAGUGUCUUCAGUCUCUCUCACUGCCAGCGAGCAGGAGUAUACUGACGUGAAGCUUUUCUUGUCGCCAUGGGUGAGUAGGCUCGUCGCCAUUGCUGCACCGUUGUCCUCUCUGCAGGAGUACUCUUUUGGUUGGGGGCUCCUUUUGCUCUGCGGCCUCCACGUUUGUACUGCUGUCUCGAGCCCUCGACGACGACGGCGGUCCAGAGGACUGCAUGCCCUGUCGUUUGCUCAGUGACAGCCGGACGGGAUCCUAGCGGGAUGGGAUUCGAUGCGAAAUCAAAUCUGAUAGUACCUUUUAUUAUAUUAUAAUUUGAAUUCUAAUAUGAAUUCAAAUAUUCUUCAUUUAAAUUCACAAGGGGGGCCUCGGGCCUGCAUGAUGAGCAGUGGCGGACCCAGGAUUUCAGAGUAGGGUAUGCCCAUUGCAAGAAAAUAUUUAGACGAACGACAUAAAAAGUUCACAAGGGAAUAAAUAAAACAUACAUAUAGUUCAAACUAAAUGUAUUCCAUAACAAACUGUGAUUAUAAAACAUUAGAAGAAAAUUACAAUUUAAUUUUAACUUUCCGAUCCCUCAUUGCUUGAUACCGAUUGAUGAUGUCAUUAUCUUUGACUUGCAAAAAGAACUGACGCUCAAUAAAGGUUACCAAACAAUCAUUCAAGUUCUGAUCUCCCAUCCUAUUUCUCAACUUGUUCUUCACAUGAUUCGUUAUUGAAAACACUCUCUCUACGGUAGCAGUUGCUACAGGUAACACUAGCACAAAUUUGAGAAGUCUGUACAGAAGAUCAUGUUUGUUGUGCUUAUUUGUCUAAAUCAAAUGUCAUUUUUGACUUCUUCAUGUCAACUGUGUGAGAUUGAAAUGCAUCCACUAGCAAUUUUGAUACAUUGAGCAGUCAAUGUACACAGAUUGUCAGAUUGAGCAAUGAGCAGUCGAUUUUGAUUACCUCGCGGAGUCGCGGUGGGGGCCGGCCGGCCGGGGGCAGCAGGCAGUCCUGGUGGGGAGGGGGGAGCCGGGGAGGGGCCGAGGGGGGGCGGGCGCCUGGCGGGGCGGCGCCGCGGCGGUCUGUGCGCCGACACCGGCGCGCCGCCCGAGUGGAGCCGUGGAGGGACGAGGGGUCUGGAGGCGGCGGGCGGCCGGGAUCUCGCCGCGGGGGCCGGGGGGUGCGGGGCGGCGCCGCGGCGCGGCGGACGGGGCGACGCCGCGCCGGAGCACGGGAGCGGGGAGCCGCGGCCCGCGGGGGUGGAGCGGCGUCUGGCCAGGCGGGCGUGCGCCUUGCCCCGUCGUGCGGCUGUGCCUGGCGGCGGUAGCGGUAGGUCAGGAGACAGGAGCUCGGGACAUGGGGUGACCGGUUGAGUGCGGUGGUGGGGGGGAUCAGUGGCUAGAUGGGCCGAUGGGCUGGCUGGCCGGGGGUGACCUGCGGGCCGGUUUGGUUUGGACGCGAAUUGGAGUCCAAAAUAGCUGUGAAUAUCAAUUUUAACACCUAAACUAUAUUAUACAUAUAUAUACCUAUGAAAACUACUAAAAAAUUUCAAAAUAAUGUUGGGUAUGCCCGGAAAUACCCGGGCACAACAGUGGGUCCGCCCCUGAUGAUGAGGCGUCCGUGCUCCGCACUCCACUGUGCUGUGCACACGAUAGUCAGAGUCAGAGAUAAGCAAACUGCUUCAACGUGUACUUUUGUUUUACCUAUUACCUGUCUGGGAGGAAUCGAAAUGGGCAUAGCUUUCGAGUCUUCCUAGGUGCGUUUGGUUUGAGGACGAAGUGGGAUGGGACGGGACGAUCCCACUUUAUCCCAUGUUUGGUUUGGAGACAGGUGGGACAGGAACAUCCCUAUGAGGGAAUAUACCCUCCAGAUGCGGGAUGCUCCCAUCCCACCAAAACGAGCGGACGGGGGCAUCCCACUUCGCCCCCGUCACGCGCCGUCCGUCCGCACCCACGGAGGGAGCGAGGUUGGGCGGCGGUCAACUGCCGGCGAAGAGGCAGAGCUUGGGCGGGGGGAGCCACCGGCGCGCGCGAGAUCCACCACGGCCGACGCGGGCGAGCUCCGCCGCGGCCAGCGCGGGCGAGCUCCCCCACGGCCCCUGAGAUCCGGUGGGCGGCAGCUCGAGGGCGGCGUGCCCGGGGCAAGCUCCCCCGACGGCGCAACGGCGAGCCCAAGAACGGUGCCACGAGCGAAACCGGGGUGGAGGAAGAAGAUGGCAGUUAGUAUGAUAGGUAGGCCCCACGAACGGUGUUUAACAGAAGGAGAAAACAGUACUCGUCCCGUCUACAACAAUCUCUCCAACCAAACAAAAAAUUAGGAAGGACCCAUCCCAUUUAACCAAACAUGAAAUGGGAUCAUCCCAUCUGGAAAAACUGGAACGGGACCAUCCCGUUCUACAUUGUCUCCCAUCCAAAUACACCCCUAAUUAGUGUGCUAGGAUGGCUUCUAGCCAUCCAUCAGUUCCGAACAACCUCCGAACUUUCCACUUUACAACUUUCUUUUUCUAAAUAUUAUCCUUAUACACAUAAUUUCAACGCAUAACUUUGACAAUUUUUUAUCAGAUGAUUUUUUUAGCACGACUUUGAUUGCGUGUAGAGUUGUGCGUACAAUUUCUACGUGCCAUUUUUGAAAGAAUAACUUAUACACACGAUUUGUACGUAUAAUUUUUUUCUAACAACAACUUACGUGAAAAUAUUUGUAGUCCAACUCACACGAAUAACUUCUGCUAUAACUUUACAAGAAUGUUGUUAAAUAUAACUUAUACGUGAACACAUUUACUUGAAUAUAACUAAUAUGAAAAAAUGAUAGAGAAAAAAGGAAAAGAAAAAACCUCGCGGGGGCAGGGGCAGCAGCUGCGCGAUGGGCCCCCCGGCCGCUCGCUGCCUCGCCUCACGCGCGCGCAGGCCAAAUCAGUUUCGCAAAAGCUUUCUCCGUUCCCUGUUUGAUUGACUCACUUUGACAUGGGCUAGCUUAUGUGAUUUAUAGGCCCGUAGACUUCAUUGGCCCAAAUAAUUGUUAUCCGUGCGCGGCCCAUUAGACUCCUGCGUCUCUCACUACUACGAAUUCGUAGUAUACAUACAAACCACUUCGAGUCUGAUGAUGGUCUUACAAAAUACUACUCCCUCCAUUAUAAAUUGUAGGUCAUUUUUGUAUUUUAAAAUUUGUAGAUUUUUCUACACACAUAAAUAUAUAAUCUGUCUGGAUACGUAAGUUAAAACUAUGAAUCUAGAAAUACCAAAACGACAUGCAAUUUGGAACGGAGGGAAUACCUCGUUCGCUUUCAGUACAGUAGAAAGAACCAUUCAGUGUAUACUGCUGCCAUGGAUGCACAGUAGAGGACACCCACACUAAAAAAUAGAAGUUUAAUUAGCCUAAAGAUCAAUUAACCCCGCCACAUCUUAAUUGUUAUCCGUCCUCCGCCACGUACUGGUAUAAUGUAUUAUAUGUUCAUUUACCACAUGGUCGCACUAGGCUAGUGAGAAACCAAGCAUGAUCCGUCACUUUCAACCCGCAGCGCGUAGCUAGCUUCGAAAUCCAUAAGGCCCCGUUUGGGUUCAAGGAAUUGGAAUCUAUUUAAUGGAGUAGACUAAUUUAUGUUGGAAUGUGGCAUUCCACAACUUUCCAAAGUCUAGGUAUAAGCCUAUCUUAAAUUCAUGGGGUGGGAGAUGGAAAUUGAUUCUAUAGAUUAUGGUUAUUAGAUGGAAUUCAAUUCUUAUAGCACGCUCUUAGACUCGCUUCUCUAUAGUAGAAGUGCAGCAUACAAGUAUCUCUCCCAUAUCACCAACUAUAAUAUACAACUAUAUUCCACAUACAAUUAUAUUAGCUUAAUUAAUUUGUGUCUAAAUUAUGAUUAUUAGGAUGGAAUUCAAUUCCAAUGAUCCAAACGGGGCCUAAAAGGUUCUAAAAUUUUAUAGGAUAAAUAAAUUAGAUCAAACAUAUGAGUUUAAUCCAAAAAUUGAUUUCCCUACCAAAGUGUUUUCGAUGCACCUAGAGCUUCAGCUUCAAAAAUUUACGGAGCGUGUGGCCCGCCCCAAACAUUCCUUUUUUAUCUAGAGCUGCACCGUAUUAUAACUUACCAUACGUACUCCAUCCAUAAAAAAUAUAAAGUGUCUUAAGUCAAACUGGUAUAAAUUUGAUCAAGUUUUUAGAGAAGAGCAUUAACUCUAACACAUCAAAUAAGUAAAUUAUGAAAAUAUAUUUCAUAAUAAAUAUAACUAUACUCAUUUAGCAUAUCAUAAAUAUUAUUGACUUUUUCUAUGGAUCCGGUCAAACUUAGAAUAGAACAAACCAAAGUAACUUAUAAUUCCAGCAAAUUAAUCUAAACAACGUCGUUUGACUAUAAUGACGUGCAAUAAUUAGUAAUACGUACGUACGUGCAAGUCUUCCAUAAUUUUGCGAACUCGAGGCAGGUAGCUCCAGUGAACCUGGUCUGCUCUGAUCCAAUCUGCGGAAUCUAACAACCGACACGAUCCAACUUAUGUAUAAAAGAAUACAGGGGCCGCCGGGAUAAGUGGAUAUGCUAUCGCAAAGAGGAAAAGGCCGAGCUUGAAAAAACUGAAAAUGGAGCUUGAAAAAGUGAGACGCGGUCCGCUAACACAUGAAUCAAUAGCAGCACAAAAGGAGAUUCUCUUGCGGCUUGAUCUUUUAUUAGAACAGGAAGAAAUCUUUUGGGUACAAAGAGCCAGGGCGAAUUGGCUUAAGCAUGGAGAUCGUAAUACAAUUUUUUUCCACCACUAUGCAUCGACUCGGAGGAGGAAAAAUUUUGUUAAGGGAUUAGUUGAUGAGUUUGGGGUAAGACAUGAGGAUGCCGGAGAGAUGAAGAUGAUGGUUAAAGAUUAUUUUACUGAUCUCUUUACGUCUGAAGUGCAUGAUGUUGAUCAGGGAGUUCUAGGGGAUAUGAAUUGCAGGGUAACGGCUGAUAUGAAUCAACUUCUUCUCGCUCCUUUCUCUAGGGAGGAGGUGAAGAAAGCUCUUUUCAGUAUUGGUGAUCUUAAAGCCCCCGGAGGUUUACAUGCAAUUUUUUUCAAGCGUUUCUGGAAUAUGUUGGGAGAGGAACUGACUGAUGAAGUGUUGCAAGCAGUGAACAACUCAACUAUCCCAGAUGGAUGGAAUGACACUACAACUGUGAUGAUCCCAAAGGUGGAGAACCCAGAUAAAAUUGGUCAAUUCAGACCAAUUUCCCUAUGCAAUGUGGUCUAUAAGGUAAUAUCAAAGCUUUUAUCAAGUAGACUAAAAGUGAUUUUACCAGAUAUUAUAAGUGACCAUCAAAGUGCUUUUGUUCCGGGGAGGUUGAUUACUGAUAAUAUUUUAUUAGCUUAUGAGUGCAUACACUCAAUGAAAAGGAAGAAGGGGAGUAGAGGAUUAUGUGCUGUAAAAUUGGAUAUGCAUAAAGCAUAUGACAGAGUAGAGUGGAUUUUUCUUGAGAAAAUGAUGUUGAAACUCGGAUUCCACCAAAGAUGGGUAAAGAUGAUUAUGGCUUGUGUUACAUCGGUCAAGUACAGGGACCGAUUCAAUUCGAUGGAAACUGAUACUAUUAUACCUACAAGGGGUCUGAGGCAAGAUCCAUUGUCACCAUAUCUUUUCCUGAUAGUGGCAGAAGGUUUAUCAUGUAUGUUGAAGGGUGCUGAAGAAAGAGGGGAGUUGGAGGGGGCUAAGGUGUGCAAGGCAGCCCCGGUUAUUUCACCUCUGCUCUUUGCAGAUGAUUCGCUCAUUCUAAUGCAUGCCGACAAGAAGAACGCAGAUUGUCUGACUGAUAUUCUAAACAGAUAUUAUGCUAAUUCAGGGCAGAAAGUUAGUGAAGCAAAAUCAAGUAUUUUCUUCUCAAACAAUACCAAUGUUGAUGUCAAAGUGGAGGUUUGUGAAGCUCUGAAUAUUAUGACUGAAUCCCUCAGUGAUAAAUAUUUGGGUUUACCGGCGAUGGUGGGGGCAGACCGGUUUGACUGCUUCCAUCAUCUGGUUGACCGAGUGAACUCUAGAAUAAAUGGGUGGAAGGAGAAGCUUCUUAGUAUGGGUGGUAAGGAGAUCCUGAUAAAAAUAUAUUGCUCAAGCUAUCCCAGUGUAUACGAUGAUGGUGUUUAAAAUUCCUAAUAAAAUUUGCAAAGGAAUAAGCAAUGCCAUUUCGCGAUACUGGUGGGGUGAUGACAAUGAUAAAAACAGGAUGCAUUGGCAAGAAUGGUGGAAAAUGUGCAUGCCUAAAGGCUCGGGAGGAAUGGGGUUCAGAGAUAUUCAAUCUUUCAACCUGGCAAUGUUGGCUAAACAAGUGUGGAGACUAUUGAGAGAGCCUGAUUCAUUAUGUGCUAGGGUACUAAGAUCUCGUUACUAUCCGGAUGGAAAGUUACUAAAUGCAAAGAUGAAAAGUGGUAGCUCUUAUACUUGGCAGAGUAUCUUAGCGGGCCUUGACUGUUUUAAGCUUGGAUACAUCUGGAGGGUUGGAGAUGGUACACAAAUCAACAUCUGGAAAGAUAAUUGGAUACCGGGCAGCCAUGACAUGAAAGUUCAGACACGAAGAGGGAAUAACUUAGUAACCUCAGUAGAUGAGCUUAUCAACCCAAUGACUGCAUCUUGGGAUGAGGAUCUGGUACGUGUUAUACUUGAGAAUGAUGCAAAUUGUAUACUACAGAUCCCCAUUACGACAGGAAGAGAUGACUGUGUUGCCUGGCAUUAUAACAGAAAUGGCCUGUUCUCCGUGAGAUCAUGUAACGCCCGUAAAAUACACCCGGUUAAAUCACCCGUUAAAAACACUUUCCAAAAUUUUUCCGACCGCCGAGCUCCGUCAAGUCUUUUCCCUUCCGUCGGACCCGCCGUCCUGGCCCCGACCCGUCAAUCCUCCAUUUUCCCCUCCCCGUAAAUUUCGCCGCGUGCCCGUCAAUCCGUCACCGCGCGCAGUCGAAUCCCGGAAUUUCCGCCGUCUUUUUCCCCUCCCUUCCCUCUCCUUCUCUUCCUUCUUUCUUUUUCUUCCUCCUUCUUUUCCUUCUCCUUUUUCCUUCUCCUUCUUCCUCCCCUUUCUUUUUCCCUUCUUCUCUCUCUUCUUUACUCCCCUGGCUCCCCACAUGCGCCGGCCCCCUCCCCUGCCCGGCACGGGCGCCGAGGCGCCGGGCCGCGCACGCGUGCGCUGGGCCGCGCGCCGCGUCGGACCGCGCGACCGCGCGCCGCGCCGCGCCCGCGCCCGCGCCCGCGCCCGCGCGCGCCCGCGCCGCCCGCUCUCGCGCCGCCCGCUCCCGCGCCGCCGCCCGCGUCGCCCCGCGCCGCCGCCGCGCCGCCGCCGCGCCGAGCCCGUGUCGCGCCGCGCCCGCACCGCGUCACGUCGCCCGUACCGUGCCCGCUCGCGCCUUGGCGUUUAGCGCUUGGCUCGGUGCGUCGCGUCGUGUCGCCGGUCACCGGUCGCCGCCCCUGUGGCCUCGUCGACCACGCCGCCACGCCGUCCACGAGCUUCACCACUCCGGCACGCCACCGGCCAAGAGUCCGGCCGCCAUCAUUACCUCGGCCCUCGCCCGCCGCACGCCGCCUAUAAAAGGAGGGAGCCGAGCCUCCACCUCCACACCUUCACCACGAGCACCUUGCCUUUCCUCACUCCCACCACCAGAACGCCGACGGCCAUUGCUCCCCUCAAGUUUCUGGUUGUCUCCAGGAAGAAGAAGGGGUAAAUCCCUCUCCUCGCGAUCCAGCCCACUAGUUUCCCUUAUCCGCGAAUAGGCCCUUCCACCAUUCCAAAAAUAAUUACAGAUAGGUCCUUACUCUCGCGGUUCAGUCCUAAACCCCAUUUUUUUUAAAGCCCCUAAUACUCCUUUAACCCGUCAUUUCAUGCGCCAAACUUCCUCCAAUCCACCCCAAAUUCGACCACAGCCUCCUCUCAUAUAUUUCCGCCGAGGCAUAUCAAAAUCCCACGAAAAUACCCUUCCUACCUAUUUUCCGUUCAUGUUUCCUGUUCGGAGCUCAUCGGGUAAAACCCUUUUUCCUUUUAUUUAUUGUGUGCUCGUUUGUGUGUGCCGUAGAUCGCGGAGUACCUGAGGAGGAGCGCGAGGAGGAAUUCGACCGCGAGCCCGAGCCCGAGGACCAGUACCGCGAGCAGGAGCUCCCGGAAGGCUUUGAGAACGGCAAGUCCAAUCUCACCCUUUGAUGCAUAUUUUAAUACCCAGUUUUUCAGACACAACCUAUUGGCCUGUUUUAUAAAAUGCAUAUUGUUUUAUCGCAAGACAUGGUUGGAUAGCCACCCCUUGAUUGUUAUGACUAUUCCUUGUUGUCCCAUAUUUAUCUCUAAAUAUGAGUUGCUCUGUUUAGAUGAUAAAUACUGCUAGAAUGCUUAGGAACUCAUCAUCCAAAUUCAAACAUGACUACACCUGUUUACUCGGAAAAUAAUGUGUGAGUAUGUUUAACUGAGGAGUUGGGUUUUCGGGUGUUAAAUGAGGUGGUGGAUGAGAUGGAUGGGUGUUUCUUGUGUGGAACUCCGGAUUGUCAGGCUCGUACCUCAGUGGUUGAGCAGUGUGGAGAUAUCCAUCUUGUCAUGACUAAGGACCGAGUUGAUGUGUCAUCCUGCCUAAUUCCAUCAUCGUACAACCACUCGACCGUUGUAUGGGCAACGGCUUAGCAUAAACCCCACUAGCUAAACUGCUAGGCUUCAGGUGUGCUGGUGAGCAACGGGAGGCCUUGGAAAAGGACCAAGCUCUUGGUGACUUAGGUCCCGGUUACGGCCCCGUGGAUGGGUUGCUAACCCCUUGAGCGCUCUUGUGUGGACUAGUCAGUGUUGGCUAAGGUGGGUAAUGGCUUUGUUAGGAUCCGUACCGACACUAAGGUGAUCGCGAUACGGUACCCUACUUGUGGGGAAAGUGUACAACCUCUGCAGAGUUAAAACCUAUCCGAGUAGCCGUGUCCACGGCAUUGGACGAGUUACGGCUCGGUCACACAACUAGCUUUUGAGGAUGACUGGUUUUGUACUGCGUGUGUGAGUGCGUGGAAUUUUGGAAGUGUCCGGCAAAUGUGCCGUGCGCUACGGCGGACGGGGAGUCCGGUAGCGGUAAAACUUGGAUCCUUUGUGUAGGAUCAACCCCACUUGAUAUAUAUUGCGUACUAAAAUGUUUUCAUGAAAUUUCUUUGAAAUGGAACCUUGCAUGUGUCUAAAAUUCAGCUUUACUGCAAAUAAACCCUAGCUUAUUUCCUUGAUUAUUCUUGUGCAUACUCUGUUGUAUCCCCCUCCGUGGAUGGGGUUGGACUUGCUGAGUACUUUUGUACUCACCCUUGUGUUGUUACUUCAGAGGAGGAUCCGGACUUCGUCGCCGAGGACUUCGAGUAGGAGGUUGCGUCUGCACCCAACGCUGCCUGUGGUGUUGGCCCUUUUGCAGGAUGCUUCCGCUGACGCUUAGCUCCGAUUGCAGCCCGGAGUCCGACUGGACUGCAACUUGGAUUUGUGUUGUUAUCGCUUUAGUCUUGCUUUGGGUGUGGCUUGCCCGCCCGCUCCUUCGGGAGCUGUACGGUUUCUGAACUAUCUGUUGAAUAAAUGUGUUAUCAGCCUCCUGGGACUGAUAAUUUGGUUCACAUUUAGUCUCUACUUAUGUGGGGACGCUUCAGAUCAGCAUAUCAUUGUCAAUGGAAGAAGAAGUUUGGAGCUCGUUGUGCAGCUAUGCAAGGUAGCGGCACUAGUAACUGCCAGGUCUGGAAAAAACUUUGGAAACUCCAAGUGCCGGGGAAAGUUAAAAUUUUUGGCUGGAGAGCUCUCCGAGGUUUCAUGCCGUGCAAUGCGAUCUUGGCAAACAGGCACGUCAUACCUGACGGUGGGUGCCCGGUGUGUCGCAAUGGUGCAGAAGAUAUAAAACAUCUGAUGUUCAUGUGUGAUCGAGCCAGAACAGUUUGGAGGUCCAUUGGCAUCUGGGAGAAAAUCAGAAUGUUUAUACAAACUGACCGAUCAGGUUCUAUUUUGAUUGAGAAUAUUAUUAACAGAGGUGAGCAGAUUCAUAGCCUGGAAGUGGGACUCGCUGAGCUUAUUUUGACUGGAGGAUGGUACCUGUGGUGGGAAAGACGGCAGCUAACGCAUGGUGAGGCGGUUCAGCCUCCAUCAAGAUCAGGCCUAGCUGUUGUUUCAUUAACAAAGAAUUAUAAGCUAGCUAUGAAGAAAGGCAUCAAGCUACGAGAAGGAUGGAAGAAGCCUAGUGAAGGGUAUAUUAUGCUGAAUAUUGAUGCUUCUUUUGACGAGGACAAGGGAUGUGGUAGUACGGGUGCAAUUAUCAGAGAUAGCUCUGGAGGGAUGAUUGCAGCUUCAAAUACUUUUAUCCCAUAUCUAGUUGAUGCACCAAUGGCUGAAGCUUUUGCUCUAAAGGAGGGACUAAUGUUAGCUCAACAUAUUGGGGGUAAUAAGCUGAUUGUUCAAACUGAUUGUAUGGAGGUCGUUGAGAUUAUGGAGAAUGCGGGAUUCACUGCGAAUUCAGCUGCUGCAGUUUACGAUGAAUGUAAUAUAGUUUGGAGUGGAUUUCAAGAGAUCUCCAUUGAGCACUUGAGUAGGGAAGCAAAUCAAGUGGCGCAUGAGCUAGCUAGACAUGCUAUGAUUUCUAGAGCAAAUUGUAUUUGGGACGAUGAUCCCCUAGUUUUAUUGUUCAGCUCCUAUCAAACGAUGUAACUAUAUUUGAUCAAUAAAGCUUGCCCAAGGGCUUUUAUCAAAAAAAAAAAGAGGAAAAGGCUGAGCUCACUUCUUCUGGAAUCCAAUCAGUCGGAUACGUCAACGGGUACAGUACGUCGCCAUGCAACGCUAGCAGAGCUAUCACCCACCCUAUGCCCUCCAUGCUUUUGGAGGACGAUGAGUCGACUCUACGGUAAAAAGAAUCGAACGCCUAGAAAUUAUACCCGGAGUCAAUAUCUACAAUGAGAUUCGUGCACAUCACCUGGACUUAUAUUUAGAUCUCCAUCAUAUUUUUUUUAACAAACCAAGCAGGAGAGCUGCCAAUUAUAUUAAUAAAAAAGAAGGAUCGAACUGGGCAAACAAUGAUCCCGUAGGGGUUGACAACGGAUCUCUAUCAUAUCAUUCUAGUCAUUUAACAAUGGUGGAUUAGUAUACAACCUCUCAAAAAUGGAGUACACUAUAGCUCCAUGUUUUGAUAGUGAGUCUCCUCUAUAAUGCACUAUAAAAAAAAAAGGAGUACACGAACAUUUCAUAAGAAGGACUCAACAAAAAAGAAGACGUAUAUUAGAGUAGUAAGAUAUUUUCUUCUAGUGGUGUGGAUCAUUCUGUAUUUGGUAAGACGAUCGCGACUUACCGGCAGCAGCAGGUGCAGCGCAUUGCAGGUACGCCGUACGCCCGUCCUCGGAUACGUACGGCCGACCAGAUUCCUGCGUGGCCCCGCAGGGAAGCAUUUGUACGGAAGGUCGCCGGCCGGCCGGCCAGCCCACGCGGAGCUUCCCGUUUCGUCCUCUCGGUGCGAGGUGAUCGGGGUGCCGGUCCACUUGCAGUGAGCGAGACGAUGAAAGUCAUCCGCCCAUCCGAGUGCGCAGAAAGAGUCAUGUGAUCUUACGUGGAAUCUUCUCUUGGUGGCGGUUUUGCUCUUCGACCCCCACGAUAAGCAGCGGCAUGCGAAUGAGGUCUGAUCCUCAUCUUCGUGGUUUUAUUUUGGUUCAUCUCACGGCUCCUCAAGGCCACUGCUACCGAGGAGAAUGGAUCGGUGAUUGUGCAAAGUAUCUUUGAUUUUUCUCAUAAUUUGAACCGAAUAUCUUAACCAAUGAGGCAUGAUCCUCAUCUUCGUGGUUUUAUUUUGGUUCAUCUCACGGCUCCUCAAGGCCACUGCUACCGAGGAGAAUGGAUCGGUGAUUGUGCCAAGUAUCUUUGAUUUUUCUCAUAAUUUGAACCGAAUAUCUUAACCAAUAACGUCACUAUGGUAUCACUCGGGCAUCUUUUAAAAGCAAAUCCUAUAAAAGAAUAAUGUAUCAGGUUGUUCUUUAUCAACGCUCAAUGAAACUAAUUGAUAACGAAAGCUGGCUUACGACAGGAUGGUUAGAAUUUUGGGCGUAUAGCCAGGGCCACCCCCUCCAGGGUUCAAAGUUCAUGGCUCGAUACCGGUGUUGGUGUUUAUCGAUUUUAGGAGUACAAUUAUAGAGUGAAAGUGCAUACACAUGUUUAAUUUACAUUAGGUCUUGUGCGUAUUAAAUUAAUCUCUAGAGAUGUGCAUUUGUGCAUGUGAUGGUGCACAUCAGUACAUGUGUUUAGCGUGUCCAUCUUCAAUGUACUUUUAAGAAAACCAAUAAAUACUUGGACGAUGGGGCUGCUUGGUCCGUUCGCCACGCCACAGCUUGCGACCGUCAUAAAAAGCUAGGUUAGUGUUGCUUUCUGACAAAACGUUGCGGUGCGCCAUAGCAAAACUGCUCAGCUAUAGUUCAUUUUCACGCCACGGUUGUGGCGUCGGAUUUUGACGCCGCAACUUCGACGGUGGCGCAUGUGUGGUGUGGCUACUCAUGGCCGGCAACAAAGCAGGUCAAUGUAACUAAUUAAUACUUUGAUCUCUUCAAUAAUUGAUGAUAACUUUUAGCAUAUGUAUACCAAAGAGAUUUUCUAAUUUGGAGUAAUAGAUGCCUAACUUGGAAGAAGCAAAGUGAUAAGCUAGGUAUAAAGACCACCUAAACGAUGAAUAAGCGAGGACAAAAGAUUACUUCGGGCUGCGUUAUUUGAACGUGGAGAAAAAAAGAAAGAUGAGGACCAAAAUGAGCUAAAAGUACGGAUUUUACUGAAUAAUUAGAGGAUCCUAAAUCCCUCAGCUUAUUUUGAUCAGAAAUUUUUUUUCUAACAUAUGGUCGGACCACCGUAACAUUUUCACUCGUAUCUAUUAUAUUACAUCUGCGACUACUGCCUCACGAACCACCUCAACCAACCCCUUCCCCCUCAUCCCUCCCCGCCAUCCUCCAUCUCCAUUAAAGAAACAAAUUUACCACCCUCCUCUCUUCGCAAAUAUCACUAUCCUCCGGUGACCAUUCCGGAUCCGGUCAUCCCCCUUCCUUGAAAUCCACAACGCCCGGGCCCACACGUCAGUCUCCUCCACUGACACUUCCUCUCUCCUUCCUUCAACCGGCCACCAUUAACAACUCCUCUGUGCUUCGUCUGCAGCAAAGACAAAGCUUCCUCCUCCGUCUCCUCUCCUCUCCCUUCCCAUUCUCUCUCCACCCACCUCCCACGCCGCGCCGCCACUGCCGCAAGCUGCAAGCAUCUUCCUCCUCUUCCCCGCCGCUGCCGGCCAACGCUCGCUCGCCGUCGCCCCAAGCCAACCAGCAAUCCUCGCUAGCUUCGCUAGUCGGCGCCCAAGGAGCUUCCCGGCGCGCGCUCCCCACAACCAGCUCGACCGGCGGGAUCGGAUCUCGACCGUCGUCGCCCCGCGAGAUGAGCCACGACGACCCCGGCAGCUCCUCCGCCGGCGCCGGCGCGGGCGUGGACGCGCUGUCGCUGGACCUGCUCGCGCACGCGCUGGCGGGCGUGCGCGACCCGCGUGACCGCAAGUCCUGCCGCCUCGCCGCGAGCGCACCUUCGCGCGAGCCGAGGCCGCGUCGCGCCGGUCGGCGCGCCCGCUCCGCCGCGAGGUGCUGCCCCGCGUCCUCCGCGCCUUCCCGGCGCUCGACGCGCUCGACCUCUCCGCGUGCGCGGGGCUCGACGACGCCUCCCUCGCCGCCGCGCUGCCGCCCGGCGCCGGCGGCGAGCUGGGCGUGCGGCGGGUGCGGCUGGCGCGGGCGAGCGGCGUUGGGUGGCGCGGCCUGGAGGCUAUGGUGGCGGCGUGCCCGAGGCUGGAGGCCGUCGACCUGUCCCACCGCGUCGCCGCUGGGGACAGGGAGAUGGCCGCCCUCGCCGCUGCCGCGGGGCUCAGGGAGCUCGUCAUGGACAAGUGCCUCGGCGUCACCGACGUCGGGCUCGCCAAGGUCGCUGUCGGGUGCCCCGGGCUGGAGAAGCUCAGCGUCAAGUGGUACCGUGAGAUCUCCGACAUUGGCAUCGAGCUGCUCGCCAAGAAGUGCCCCGAGCUUCGCAGCGUUGACAUCUCCUGCCUCAAGGUAGCAUCCCUGAAAUUCGUAUCAAUCUCUUUGGUCAGUAGUAGGAUUGGUCUGAAGCCUCUGAUGGAUUCAAUUGAAAAUGAUUGUGACUUGACCUGUCGAGAAUUCAGAAGUGUUGAAACAUAUGUGAACUGACUAGAAUGGGGGACAAAUGUGGCAUGUUAGUAGGAUGCUGUUUCCUUAAAAACAUUAAGAUUCUUCUUAGAGUUUAAUAGUUUAUGAGAUUGUUCCCUUGCCAACAUAGAUGCUAUUUUGCGUGUGCGAAUCAAGUGAGCUGGAAAGAUUCAAUUACUUGCUGGUACAGUGUUUGGUUAAAAAUCGAAUGCUUGUUCAAAUGGAAAAUGGUGUUCCAAAAAAUGGUAGCUUGAGACAAUGUGAUUAGAAGUUCUGUAAUCUGGAAUGUUUAGCAUCUUCAUAUUGCUCAGUCAAUGUUUACCAUGCAUUUUGACUUCAGAUAGAAUAAAGAUUCAGUUGAACUUAAUGGGGCACCAUUGACUUCAGAUAGAAUAAAGAUUCAGUUGAACUUAAUGGGGCACCAUUGACAUGCAUAUUCCUGCUAUCUAGUUUACAAUGGAUACAUAUGGCUCGAUGAAUUCUCAUUGUUUCUUACUAUGAAAAUCCAAGAAUGCUCCAAUUUCUUGUCUCUUGUUUUGCAGGUGAGCAAUGAAUCCCUUAGAUCACUCUCCACUCUCGAGAAGUUGGAGGACAUAACAAUGGUCUGCUGCUUGUUGGUAGACGAUGAUGGCCUACUGAUGCUAAGCGCAGGCAACUCGCUGAAGGUAAUCACCUUGCAGGAAUGCCAAUCUUGUAUGGAUUCACUUUGUAUACUAUGAUGUGAACUUUCUUUGAUACCUUUGUGCUUACUGCAUUUUUCAACCUCAUCUGUUCCAGAGUAUUGAUGUAUCGAGGUGUCCCCAUGUGACUUCUGAAGGCUUAGCUUCACUUAUAGUCAGUCAAAGAUUUAUCCAAAAAAUCAAUGCUGGACACAGUUUGCAUGUGAGUAGAGUUCCUUUGCUCGUUUUGCGCUUUUGAGAACUCACGAUGCAAAUGAAUGCCAUUUCGCAGUCAAAUUCACACUGCCAGUGGUUGUUCACCUUCUGCUUUACACUUGCAGGAGAUAGAGACUUGCUUUCUAUCCAAGUUAUCAACAAUAUGCGAGACUUUGACUGUUUUAAGACUCGAUGGCCUUGAAAUUUUUGCCUCAAAUCUACAGUCCAUCGGUGACAGCUGCAAAAACCUGGUUGAAAUUGGGCUCAGCAAAUGCAAUGGCAUUACAGAUGAGAUGGUAUAGCUUCACUUGUAGUCAACUGCGGCUACCUAAGGACUAUCGACGUUACUUGCUGCCAUCUUGUUACCAAUGAUGCCCUUGCGUUUAGCUUUGUCUGUCAUAUUUUACGACAUCUUAGUGUCUUACCAGCUGGCAUUGAUCAAAUCUGCAUCCUUUGAUGUUUAGGUUCCAUGGGGGAAGAACGUCAUUCUUGUGGGAGGGAAAAGUGACCCGCCUUAUGACAAGAUAUCAGGUUUGUCUGCGCUAUUUAAUUUUCUAAACCGCAUCUAUUUGUUUUAUUUAUCUGAUUCUCUGCCAAACUUCCAACAGAGACAGUUAGGAAUUCAUCAUUUGUUUUACUGCAGUAUGGACCUUCAAUACAGAAACUGAGCUCUGGUCACAUAUGGAAACCAAGGGUGAUAUUCCGGUAAAAAUCUGAACUUAUAUUUCAACACUCCUUUCGUUAAUGACGCUAGAUGGCUUGCUUCCAGUCUUAAAAAAAAAGUGUAGGCACACAAGGAGCUGGCCCUUUUUCUUUUAUUUUUCAUUAGAAAGAAAACGAAAAUACGAAACUAAAAGAAAGUGCUAGUGCACACAAGAGUCAUUGGACCUGAAACAAGAACAACUGCACCAAAAGAAUUCAACAGGUAUUCAAUAAAAUCCUCUGCUGAGGGAGCAAUUUGUUUUUAAUAAAAAAAUAAUUUCUUUCAGGCUCGGCCAUGUUCUCCAUUAUCAUGUGUUUGUUUGGCAAUCGAGAGUUGAAAAUUAUAAACUAACACUAGGGUGCAUAAGCAAUAUGAAUGAUGCAAUGUGACAAGUGUACAUCUAUCAGCUGCUGUUAUGCAAGCCAGAACAGUAAGUGCAUGUUGACAUCAAAUUAUCUGAAUGCGUUGAGAGUUAGAAUCUAAACCUUACUAACAUUUUUUGUAUUUCCUUAGAUAUAUUUCUGUGAUCCCGUGGAGUGCAUAACCUGAUCACAGAAAUGAGAGCAUGACAAGUUGUAAUUGCUCUGUGUGCAGAUGUCUAGACCAUCUAUUAUUCUUAAGCUCAUUUUGGGGCUGAUUUGGAGCAUCAUCCACUUGGCAAUCAAGCUUUUUAAUUUAUGGUCUCUUCUGAUUUAUAAUCUAGAAUGAUAUAUUAUUUCGUCUAGGUUGCUGAGGAAGUAUCAGUACCUCCACCUGGAUCGACUGAAGUACUUGGGGCUCGGGGACGCCGACAUGGAGCCCAGCAGGUGCACGCUGCACCGGUUCGGCAACACCAGCAGCAGCUCGCCUACGCCGAGGCUAAGGGCCGCGUCCGGCGCGGCCACCGCGUGUGGCAGAUCGGGUUCGGCUCCGGGUUCAAGUGCAACAGCACCGUCUGGCGCGCGCUCCGCGACGUGGCGCCCGUGCCCGCCGACGGCACCGGCGGCGGCAGCUGCAACCCGUGGGUGGACAGCAUUCAGAACUACCCGCCGAAAGCAUACAUCUGACGUCAUAUUCUUUGUGACUGAAUCGGUCACACCGUUGGAUCGGUUGCAGCUGCACAAGAACUGUAUGAUAAAAAGAACACACAAGGCUAUAAUUUUCUUUCGUUUCUUGAUCAGGUAGGAGCUGCUGAAUCUUCUGCUACCUGUAGUGCAUUGAAGACAAGGGUGGCGUUACACAAUGUCUAUAAAUACUGUGCUGUGGUUGGUGAAUAGUUAGGAUAAUGAUGUGUGGAGAUCGCUGGACUGCUGCCUUUCUCAUUAAGUAGAUGGAGACAUCAGAUCAGAAGUGCCG
RNAcentral lists this long non-coding RNA (63037 nucleotides) under Setaria italica (foxtail millet). RNAcentral describes it as "long non-coding RNA (SITA_LNC006896)". Lineage: Eukaryota; Viridiplantae; Streptophyta; Magnoliopsida; Poales; Poaceae. The record is from RNAcentral.